CACCUCCAUACACUUACACACCCCCUCAUUGAAUUAAAUUUUCCCUUUUCUUAAAAUAAAAUAUAGUUUGUUGCGUAAAUGAAUAGAAUAAUGAGGUGGCCUUUGCUUUGAGGGGUUGGUGUCUUUGAAGUGGAGACUAGGUCCCACAUAAGUCAGCCACUUUGACACACAGUGGAUCUUCACACUUUUUUUUUCUUUUCAACUCUCAUUUACUAUUGCUUGUUUGGCACACUUAUUAUUUAUUGUCAUUAUCUUACCCUAUUUUUUUUUCUUUUCUUUUCAAAAUUUGUUUUCUCACAUCAUUUCACCCCCCAUGCCUUGUUCUUUUCACCAUAAAGCUUUAACCCACAAAUGGAUAAAAGAUGACACUGCAGUGUCUUGGUGGUUAAGGGUGUUGCCUAUGCAAAACUAUGUACUUGGUUUGAAUUGAGCACAUACAUAUAUACACACUCUACCCUUCCACCAGGAAAAAAAAUCAUUGAUUGACUUGGCAUCCUUUUAUCAUUCGUAUAAUUUGAGUUGGAUCUAAUCAAACGUUACAAAAAUUAGUUUGUAAGAUGAUGACCCCACUCACCACCUAAAACAUAACUCGAGUGAUAAUUACAUCCGACUUAUAAUCGUAUUUUCAAACUUUUUAAAAAAAUUGUGGUUGAGUCUAACAUAACCCCACAAAACCGGCUUGUGAGGUGAGGAAUGCUCCCACUUAUAAAGAUAUUGUCAUAUCAUCUCUUAUCCGAUGUGAGACUUUUAACACACCCCCUCACGACCAGUAUUAUUGGAUUUGGUUCGUGGACAUAAACGGUGGAUGACCCAUUUGCGGAAAUCAGAUAGCAUGUGAUCCAAUGAAUUUUAAAGAGGCUCUGAUACCAUCUUAAAAUUCGUGAUUGGGUCUAACACAACCUCACAAAACUGGUUUGUGAGGUGAGAAUUAUCCAAUUUAUAAACAUAUGAUUAGGUUAUCUUUUAUCUCUGAUGUGAGACUCUUAAAUUUUUUUAUUGAAUAUCAUACAAGACUUUUAGAACAAUUAGUACCACAAGCAAAUUAAUUGUUACUAUUGUUUAACUACCUGAUUCCAAGCACCUGGCUUGUCAUAAAGAGGACUAUAAUUAGGCCAAAGGGAAAGAACAAUGGACCCAUUAGUCACUUCAAAUAAAUGUGAUCACUGAUCACCAAUGUUUGGCAUGGUCACUCAUUGUAUGGGUUGUCUUAUCCUUCCACACCUUUUUGCACCAUUGAUUAAUAUUUGAGACCUUGUUGAUAAUUGACUUACAAUCCAAUCCUGCAUACCCUAUUGAAUGCUUUGUUCUUAGGAACUAGGAAGUAUGUCAUAUUAAACCAACCAAUGUAGGUAAAGUUUGGUUGGAUUGUGAGUUUGAAUUUUAGGACUAACAUUUCUAAAAAUUGAUUAUUGACCUUUAUCAUUAAAAAAGUUCAAACAAAUUGGAAUGAAGGAAAUCUAAAGAAUCAUUUGUGAGAUUUUAAUAUGCUAAUCUUUCUUAAUACUCUAUCUUUCUUGGCUCAAUGAGUAGUAUUAUUUUUUUCUUAAUAACGUAGACAUUAAUGUUGGCUCCUUAUACAAGUAACAUAAUCUCUUCCUAAGUAGUGCCUUCCAAUCAUUUUAUUGAACUUGUUAAAUAUGCAAAGUGGGAUAACGUCGUAUCACUUUAAGUAACAACCUUAACUUCUUUGUCUUCAUUGAAACCAAUCAAGUUUGAGAAAGAAAAUUUCUCUAAUACAUCCAAAUUCUAAAGUCAGCCAUUAGUUAGGCAUUAUUGCGUGUCAAUUUUAAGGAUGAUUUUCCUUUUUAGAGGCAAUUUUUAAGAAUGAAAUCAUUAAAAAAAGUGUAGAAAUAAUUAGUAAUUCAUCUUGAAUGCGUUUGAAGUGCAUUUUAAUUAAUAUUUUUUUAAUGAAAUAUAAGUAAAUUAUAAUUACUUUUCUUCUGAAUGAUAACAAUGAUCCGAGGUGAAUCUCGUGAGCUGGCCAAAAUAUCUAAAGUAAGUGAGAAAACAUAAUUUUACAAUAUGUUAUGUUAAUCCGUGUUCCCGAGACAUUAGUUAAAUAAUUAAAAACAAAAAGAAACGACAAAGUUAGCUUUUAAAAAAACACUUUUUCAAGUUUAAAAAGGUAAAAUGCACAAUUUUUAAGAUAAACAUUUUCUUUUAUAAUACCUUAGCUAGUAUCCGGAGGUACCGGUUAACAUUUUCUUUUACAAUUAUGAAUAUCAUUCUAUCAUGAUGAAGAGAUGAAAAAUUAUCCAUAACUUUUUUGACAUCAAACUCAAAAUUAAUAGUGUUUUCCUUAUAGAAAACUAGUUUUGAUGUGCCUGCACACAGGUUUGGAUUCUCAACAAUAACGGUCCAUAUUUUAAACACAGUUUUACACUGUAAAGUGAUCUCAACCACCUAUUUGAAAUCAGACGGCCUAGAGGCUGCUGUAAAUGUGGGAAAUCCAAAAGUAUUGAUUUCUAUAGUAGCCAUAGGAUUCUUCUCAUGUGUCCCGAUUUGAGAGAUGGAAAUUAGUUCUAAUAUUGGUAAUAUGCCUCAUGCAUUUGAAUAUCAAGCACAAAGACAAGUUAGGUAACAAUAUAACACAGUACACAGUACACAGUAGUAAAACAAGUUUUCCAGAGCAAUAAAUGAAUAAGAACAAGCAGUUAUACGGUUUUGGGUAUUUGUGGACUCAAUUAUUACAUAUAGUUGCAGUUUCUGAUUGUUAUUUUUCUAGAAAAGAGGACCUGCCUCUUAAAAUCAUUAACUUGGACCAGCUUAACUAUGUCCAGAUUUAAACUAGCAUUAAUCAAACACCAACUACCACCCCCAUCACUCACUCUGUACUUCCAUUUAAGACUGUGUUACAGAUGAUUAGUCUCAGCCUCUGCUGGUUUAACAUUCCAAGCUUAUUAACACAAACAAGGUUAUUAACUUGAGAUGAACAAUGCGUAAUAUAUGUAAGUAGUUGAGAGGAAUAUUAUGAGUGAGGAUUAAGUUUCUUUGAGAAAACUUAAGUGUCACUGGCUAGUUACUAUUACUAAAACACCCAUAUUAAUUAAGUAGUUAAGUGGAAAGAAAUUUAAUAAAUAAAGGUAUAUUUUUUUAUUUUUAUUUUUUUGGUCAAGAAAGGUAUAUUAAUUAAUAAAUAUUAUAUUGAUAUUUUAAAGUAGUAACAAUUAUUUUAAAACAAAAAAAUAAUGCUAAAGUGACAAUUAAAACGAGACGGAGGGAGUAUAUAAUUGCACACCAUGUUCUUUAAAAAAAAAAUUGCUCACCAUGUAACUUAAAAUUUUAAAGUGUUGCAUAUGUUAUCAUUUUCAACACUAUCAAAUAUAUCCUCUAUUAUUUUAAGACAGAAAAAUAAUGCUAGUGAUAAUUAAAACGAGAUAGGAGGGUCUCCGUGAGUAUAAUUCAGUUGGCAAGGACAUGUAUUAUUAUAUGCAGGGGCUGGGGUUUGAACCCCAAACACUCCACUUAUUUACCUUAAAAAAAUUGAUUUCUAACCACUAAACUGCUUGACAAAAAAACAAAAAGACGGGAGGAGUAUAUAAUUACUUACCACGUAUCUUCAAAUUUUAAAGUGUUGCAUGUCCUUUCCUUAAAAAAAAAAAAAAAUAGUGUUGCAUAUCUUAUCAUUUUCAACACUACCAAAUAUAUCCUAUAUAUAUAUAUAUAUAUAUAUGAUCAAACAAUUAUUCAAAAUUAUAACCUUCAUGUUAUUGUGCAUUUGAUUCCAAUGCAAGCUCAAAAUUUAAAACAUCAUAAACACCGAGACCGUAAAUGCAAAAUCAAGACAAAAAUAAGAAUGAAGGGAGAAACUUAGAUUAUUGUCUCAUCACUCAGUUUUAGUAAAGGAAAAAAAGAAGAAGAGAGAUUUAGAAACAGGGAGGGAGACACCUUGAGAAGGGAGUAGAUUUACACACUAAUGAAGCUUUUAAUGAUGUGCCUAGAUGAAAGAAGAUUCCUUUGGGGGAUGAAUAUUUUCAUAAUGUUUUAUCCUUCAAAAUAAAAUAUAAGCAAAAAUAGUAGUUGAAAGAUCAAUAUACGUGGUUAAAAAUUUAAUCCACACUAGUGAGAUACUCGUGUGUACCAGCGUCAGAGCGAGAAAUUUUAUCGAGCCUGAGUAAAAUUUUGACUGUAAAUUCACAUAUGACAUAAUAUAUAAAUAAUUAUAAAUCGAAAUAAAAUAGGCUCGUCAUUUUGUCAAUAAAAGUACAAUUUAAAACAAGAGAGAUGAAACAUAACCUGUCAAAAUAAUUUGUUGGGCGUGCCAAAAUAAUAUGUAAUAUAAAUCAAACAGUUUGAUGAAAGAACAAUGAGUGACUAAUAAAAAUGGUAUGCACUACGAAUAGAGUAUUCAUCAUGAUUUUCUUUUUUUUAGAUGAGUCGAUCUUCUAUCACUAAUGGAUAGAGCGGUGUGUUCACUAUAUGUUCAACUACCUGGUGAUACAAAAUUGAUUGCAUGAAAGGUAGAUUACAUUCCUUGAGGUCGUGUAGCAUGCAAUUUAAGACUCUUAGAUCAGCUAGAGGGAAAUCCCCAUCAACAAGUGAGAUAAGUGUAACAUCAUUUGCAAUCCACUUGUUACACCAAACAGAGAUAUCAUCAGCAUCGCCUAUCCUCCUUCUGCUUUCAGCUUUGAGAAUAAAUUUAGAAUUACAUAUGCUUCGCCAUACAAAGCUAGGCUUAUGUCCUAAAGUCGACUCAAAGAAAUUGCACCUGGUAUAAUAUUUUGCCUUGUAAAGUCUAGCUACCAAUUAAUCAUGGGUUGUCAUAAGUCUCCAAUCCUAUUUUCCUAACAUAACUAGAUUAAAGGUAGGUAAAUUUUUUUAACUCAUACCUCCAUCAUUCUUGUGUAUAGACAUUUUAUCCCAAAAAAGCCAGUCAAUACCUCUAGUCCUCUACUUUGACCUUUCGAAUGAUCCCACCAAAAGGAAUUCAUCAUUCUUGUAUAUAAAUUAACUCUUUUGUUAUUAUUUCUGAAUGUUUGUAAGUAUAUUACGCAAAUGUUGUUGAGAGAAAAAUUAAACAAAAACAAAUAAUAGAUUUAGAAAAGAAAAAAAAAAAAAAAAAAAAAAAAAGAUGAAGAUAAAGAAGAUUAUAAAGUUAUACUUAUACUUAAGGAGAUCAAACUCUCUCUCUCAUUCCUUUGUUGUCUCUACAUGAUAUUGAGGUUGAUUGUUAGAUUGAUAUAAUGGAUAAGAGAUCAAUGCUCCUGAUCGUUUGAUGAAUCCAACGAUCUAUCUAUAAUUGCUGAGGCACUAAGGACAAAAGUAAUUUAAAUCAAUUCUUGAGAUAGUAUGCCCUCCUUUAAAAAAAAAAAGCCUAAAAUAUGCAUUUGAACCCUACAAAUAUGGGUUGGUAUGGUUUUGGUCCCUGCAAAAAGAAAAACUUUUGAAAUCCAUCCUUGCAAAAAAAAACUUUUUUAAAAUAGUCCAUGUACCCACUUUCUUGCUAAUUUGACGUAUUUUUGCUUAUGUGACACUUGAUGACUGUGUAUGAAUGUCACACGUAGAUUUUAAUUGGAACAAAAAAAAAUAUAAAAUAAAUUAAUGAAUCCAAAAUUCUAUUUUGUUUAUUUUUAUUUCAAUUUCUUAAUUUUAAAAUAUAGCUUAAUCAGUCAUUGUAAACUUAGCUCAAUUUGUAAGAACUUCAUGCCUAAAUUUCAUUCUUCAUUUUUUUCCCUUUAUUCUACAAAACUUCAUUCUUUUUCUCUUUCUUUUUCUACAUCCUAUUCGAAAAACUUUCUUCAUCUAUAUUAAAAAAGGAAAGGAGAUAAAUUUUUCUAGGCAUAAACAAUAUCAACCCAUUCAUCUUCAUGCCUAAAUUUAAAUUUUGAUCAGAUCUGGAUCUACAACCCCUUACACACAACUAUCAUCAACAAGAAGCAGUCAUAAUCAAUCCUUUCAAUUUUUAUCCUAAGUUCAAAGAACACAAAACAAUCAUCAACAUUGCGUCGAACAUUGCAAAUGAAUCUCACACCAAAAAUUUCGUUUCAAUCUUCCUUCUUUUUCAAGAUCCAUAAUCACAAUAAUCACAUCCAUUCUUUUUCCUCUUUCUCAUUUUCAACCCAUGGCUUCCGUCGAAGAGCUCAUCAUCGUCGUUGUUGCGCAAUGGGUUGUUAUUACCUACUCUACACUGAGUUGCUCACUUUAUAGGAGCUGGAUCCCAUAAAAUUGGGUUUCCAAAGUUAGUAUAUCCGGUAGGUUUAAAAACAUUCAAUCACCUAUAUCAUCCAAAAGGUAAGUUCUACACAUACUGGAAUUAUACUAUAUUGCUAAAGAAGUUAACCUCCAAAAUGUAAAUCAAGUUUGAAUAAUUGAUAGAAGGAAUUAAAACCGGCUUAUGGGAUGUAUGAGCAAAAACACAAAGGGUGCAUUAUGCAACCCCAGUGUAACACUAUGAAAAAUGUUAAGGAAAGUAGAUAGCGCAGCAAUUAUCAAGUAUGGAGAAUGUUAAAGAGUGCCCCAAAAACAUUAAUUAAACAUGCAAAACAAGUAAAUUUUCAUUAAAAAAAAUGGUGUAAUCAUUAUUUAAUAAAAAAUAAUAUUUUAUAUUUUCGAGACAAAAUUUCUAUUUAUGAGUUCCUUAACCAAUGUCUGUAUAUAUGAAACUAGAGACUUUCUUUUCCCACCCCCAACGUAAAACCACAUUUGUGUCUAAAGUAUACUCUCCAAUGUCAAAAAAUGUUUUUCCCCAUAAGUAUGCUUCAAAGAGACUUUGGGGUGGGAAAAGAAGUUCUCUCUGGAACUAUGCAAGAAUCUCAUGAGAGAGGAGCAAUGAAUAGCCGGCAGAACAGCUAUACUAAGAUAUGAUACGACCAACAUACAUAAUAGUAAUAUCAAAAAUAUGAGCAAAUUAUGUGCUAAGCUGCUCUUCAAUUUCAUAUAUAUUCAUUCCAUUGCUCAUGCUAACCUUCAACUAUUACAUCACUCAUUAUACGAGAUCAGAAACAAACUCUAGAUUCUCACAAUCAAAUUUUCAGCUGCUCCAACCUCUGCACUGUUUCAGAUCCUGCUGGAAUAUUCUCAGUUUUGGUGUCGGUUUUAUCUGAAUCACUGGUUGGUGCUGGGUCAUCUUUGCUGACAAGAACAGUUUCAUCUAUUUUAACUGCUGAAGCUGCUGGAUCAUCUUUGCUGAUAGGAACAGGUUCAUCUACUGGAAUUGGUAGGGCAGCAUUUUCUGCUGGUGAUGGAUCAACUUUGCUGACGGUAACAGGUUCAUCUAUUAUAACUGGUGGAGCGGCAUAAACUACAGGUGCUGGAUCGACUUUACUGAUGGGAACAGGUUCAUCUACUCGAAGCGGUGUAGCAGCAUUUAGUACUUGUGCCAGAUCAUUUUUGCUGAUGGGAAUAGGUUCAUCUUUUCGAACCGGUGGAGCAGAAGCAUAUACUGGAACUACUUGCCGAAUAUUGAUCGGGGGAGCAACUCGUACAGGAAGUGGCCGCAUUACUUGAGGGGACACGGCGGCUGGUGGCGGGGAGAAUACAGGUAUUGCAUUCCUUACGGUAACUGGAGGUGCAACUCCCUGGCAUGAUGAUCGCAUAUGUCGAAUGGGAACAUAAGGUGCUGCUCCUGCCGCAGGGAAUUUCGGGCGACGGGUCCAUCGGCUUUCUGGUGUAGAAGAAAACGGUGACAUAAUGGAACUGUGAUCACUGCUGGCUGACGCCGUUGCGGGAUGCCUGCUUCGAGGUGCUGUCUUUUGGCAAAUUAGAGGAAGAAUCUUUGAUGUUGCUGGCCGAGGUUGAGGGCUGGUUGGCCUUGGAUUUUGAAACUGAAACUUCAUUGGAAAUGAAAUCAUAGCAUUUGGAUUUGACAUUGCCAUCUUUUCCUUCAGACGGUAAUUCAGUAAGGCUCGUGCUAUGGUGAUCUGUUCUAGUUCGUCAUUGUUCUCCGGUUCAGUUGAAGAGCUUGCAGUUUCUUUCGCCACUGUCAAUGAACAAAAUUAUUAUCAAUUUUAGAUUUAAUCAUAUUUGGAUAUAUAAACUAUAGUUGUUAACUCCGUUGCUAAUAUAAUGGCUACUACUCUACCAAAUAUUAAGGAUAUAAUAUAAAUUAAGUUCACAUGAAUUCUUUAAAAUGAAAGUUCACUUAAAUUAAAGACAUUUAUCGUUUAUAGUUGAAAGUCUUAGUGUAACGUACAACCACCAAUCUAAGGCAUUGUGAUCAAGUAAACAAUCAAACAGCUAAUUCUAAUAGCUUUUCAUUUUAGGAUCAAAAUAGAUUGUUUUGAUUAAAUGAUUUUUCUUAAAAUCCUAAACAAACACUUAAAAAUGAAAAAAGUGAUUUUUUUAAGAAAAAUAAUAGAUUUCUUUUGAAAAAAAAUCUAAAACAAACGGGCCAUGAAUUGCAGGGUUGUAGUUGGAAAACAAAUAGAAAAACACGGUAUGCUAACAGAGGGUGAGGCUUCAGGUGAUUUUUUAAUGGAUGACGAGAAUCCAAUCCCUAGAUCCAUUGUUCCUGCUCAGCCAUGAUAUUCCAAAUCAAAAAAUGAUGCAACAAAGAACUCAAAACUGAUAUUGUCAAAUAGAAGUUAUAGUGUGGCAGAAUUUAAACAAAUCACUAUGGUUCUGCAAUAUGCCAUUUAGUGCAAAGUGUUGCCAAAUCACAGCGCUAUAGACUGUAGUGUAGCGCAAUUUGAACAAACCACCAUUAAUAGCAAUCCAUGAUUGACAGCACUUCUUAAAACAGCCAGAAGCUGUUCCAUUCUGCACUGCUACUGUAGUGCUGUGAUUCGCUACUAUUAAAAACAGAUAAAAAGAAGAGCAAAAAUGAAAUUUAUACGAAUGACUGGAAUAAGGGAAACUGUACUAGGUUGGGUAUUGCUAGGGUUUCAAAAACAAGUAUGCAAGUUCUGUGACCGCAAUUAUUGCUAGGGUUUCAACACCAUAGUUCAUGGGACAAUUGAUGCAAAAGUUUCAUAUUUCUUUCAGCGAAGAAAAUCGUCUACAUAGAAAAGCUGGGUAGCCACUUACAUUGCUUUAGAGACGACCAAGCUGCCAUAGCUGCAUUUUUCUCUGCUUGUUUCUUAUUCUUGGCAUGUUCGCCAGUGAAUGUAAUUCCAGCUAAUUCCACCGUCCCGGUAAAAACAGGUAGAUGUCCUAAGCCUGACCGGAAAGUUGUGUACUGCGGCAAUGGAGCCCCUACCCUUUGUGCAAUUUCUUGUAAGAGAUUCUUGUACACUCCCGUCUCAUCCUGAAAUUUUGUAAGUGAUAAGUAUUCAAACAGAAAAAUUACCAAUGACACAAUGAAGACAUGCCAUGCAAUGUGAAUUGAUAAACAUUUAAACACUGACAAAAGAUACUUUGAAGAAAAUGCUCAUAGAAUAUGCAUAAAAUAUAUAAUGAAAGCAUAGUUCAAAAUUUCGGUCCACGAUAUUAAGAUUUUAGAAGUCUCCACAAUAGCAUUGCAACUGCAAUUGCAACCACAUUUUGCCGCAAUGUCGACAUUCACAAUGUAACCACAACUGCAAUUUAGAACCAUGGCUGAGGGAAAAUGUGAGGUAACUGUAAAUACAGGAGAAAAUUGGAACCUGAACUACAUGGUAGGAUCCUACAAAUUCCACUUUAGAAGACAACUAAAAGGACAGAAUCUAUUUUAUAUUUCAACAAUUUUUUUGUACAUUACAUAACAUUCUUGAAUAUAUGAGUGUAUAUAUAUAUGACAGACACAACAAAAAGGCGGUUAGCCAGCAUAAAGGAAAAAAGCUUCUUUGCAAAUUAUAUACAACAAAUCAGUGGAAAGCCCAAUCCCCUCUUAAGAAGCAAAAUCUUAGUGCAUAUAUGUUUGAUUCACUUCGAGUUUGUCACAAUAUCACGAUUUCAGUAAAAGAUACUCUUUGGAUCUUCAACAAAAUCACAGUUCUACUGAUCAUGUCAAACUCAACGGAAUUCAAAAGACGCCCUUACAUCCUCACUCAAGAAACUAUGAACUAUUUACAAAUUGCCAAUUUUACCCCCAUUAAAAAAAAUACUAUUCAAUGACAAUCAUCAUCAAGUACAUCAUCACCUUCAUUAAACCAGUAAAACAAAAAUAAAUCAAAAUCAUCAAAGAAUAAAACAUUACACAAUAACAAAAUCAACUCAUAUAAGUAUUGCAUAAAUAAAUCCUAAACAAAGGACAAGUACAUUUGUCUCGUAAGUACAACUCAGACGAUAAAAGACUACAGAUAUAUACAGGGGCGGAAGUUCAAACCCACAAUUAUCUAUUUAUAAGUAGUUAAUGUGUUUGAGUUUCGCCGCUAGACUCUUUGAAAAUAAAAAAGGACAAGGGCAAUUAUGUAAUUCAACAACAGAAACAAAAAACAAACUGAAACAGAAGCACACCGACAGAAGAAAAACAAAAAGCAAAACUGAAAGAGAAACAAACUCACAAGGAUUUUUGCAGCAAGAGAAUGAGAAGGACCACGAUGAGACAAAGAACUAAGUGCCACCUCAGCAGCUGAAUGUUCAGCUUGACGAAGUGUUGUACAGUACUGAGGACUUUCAAAGAUCUCGCCGUUAAAGUUAACGGUAGCUUUAAACCGCGGCGCGUGAUCAGGACCUUCUCUUAUGCACGUGUAUGAAGGUAGGUUGAAACAGCUUCUUUGUGCCAGCUCUUGUAGCUGGUUCUUGUACAUUUUCUCUCUCCUCACUUUCUUAGAAAGUGAGUUAACGUUGAAUGUUCCAGUGCUGUACCGUACCCAGUACAGAUCCGAUCCGUUUUGGGAGACGGGUCGGGUUGAAAUGGUUUAAAGGUGGAAGCUUUGGUUGCUGUGUAGGUGAAUUAGCUUCAGAGAAAUCAUGGGUUGUUUUCUGUUAAGGGUUUAGAGAAGAGAGAAAGUAGAAAGAGAAAGUGAAGAAAGAAAGGAAGAAGAUGAAGAGGAAGAAAAUGAGAAUUAGAAAUGUUUUGAUUUUGAUUUAAUAAUAAGAAUAUUAUAGUAUAUGAGAUUUAAUGUUAUAUUAUUAUAAUGUUAGUAUAUUGAAAAAUGAGAAAGUUAUUUAUUGCUUUGUUUGAUGGGGAGUCAACUGAAGUGUUUGGUUGCAUGGAUGUGAUCUUUCUUUAGAUUUUUUUUUCUUUUUGUUUUUGUUGGAAUCUGUUUUUCUCUAUGUAACGUACACUAACUAAGUUUUUAUUUAUAUAAGGGAUAUUUUAAGUUGUGUCCUUAAUACACUAGUUAAAGAAAUUAAAAGUGGUAAAUUUACAUUGAAUUUAAUAAUUUUUUAAUUUUUCAAAAGUUAAAUCUAUCAUUUUUUACUAUUUUUUAAUACAAUAUUUUUAAAUUUGUCUUCUUAAUCAAUGUCUUAAGGACAUUCUUUAACAUUUUCCUUUAUAUAAAUAUUCGUAUUAUUAAGAGUCGGAAAAAAGCAAAUGAGAUGAGUCCUCGAGUAAAAAGUAUGAAAAAUGUUUAAAGAGUAUCAUUAUCGUAUUGAUUAAGAGAACAAAAAUAAAAAUAAUACAUUGAAUAGAAGUAAUAAUACGUUGAAUAGAAGUAAAAUGUGUUGAAUUUAACUUUUUAAGUGUUUAAAAGAUGUUGUUUGCAAUGCAAAACUAUUUACUUUUUAGCAUGACCCUUUUUGUUAACUCAUUGGUUUUGUGGGGAAUAUGUUCUUAUUGAGUUUUAUGUGUUUAUUAAAAAAUGAUUAGUAAUACUAAUUUUAAUGGUAAAAUGAAUUUCAUUUAUUAAAAUACUUUUAUAAAUUAUAGUUAAUGAUGUAGUUAGAUGAUUAAAAUGCAAUAAAAAAUAUAUGUUAAUGGAAAAGAAUAAUAAAUAUUGUGUUAGUAUUGUAAAAUGGACAAAUAAUCUUCUUAAAAGAGAAAGAGUGAAGACAAAUAAUUUGAGACAAGAAAUCACCACCAUAAAAAAAUUGAGACAAGAAAAAAUGGUAAAAAAUAUAUUUAAUUCGAGACAGAGGGUGUAUGUAUAUUAUACACAUUUCUAAUACAUUUUUAUUAGAAUUUAAUGUACAAAAUUGAUCAACAAAAAACAUAGUUGAGAACUGAUUUAGGUGGUUGGGAUAAGAGUGUGUUUUACCUUCAAAUUUAUCGAGUCUUCUUAAUUUUAUGUUUGAAUUAGGGGAGAGAAUUGAGAGGUUAUGUUUCUUAUUUAUCUGGCAAUUUGAUGUGUGGUCCUUGUGAAAAUUCCGAAAUGCUCACAUCUUUUCGAGUAAUAAGAUAUUUGUACUCUAGUUAGUGGAUAUGGUUAAAUUUAUAUCAUGGAAGUGAUUUAUGGAAAAACACUAUGGUCAAACAUGUUCCUUCUAUGAGUGUCAUCGUGAACCCGUUCUGUGUUGCCUUCGAUAAUGUCUUGUGGCAGAUUUGUAUUGGGGUUGAUUGAUUGAUGGGGUUAUGUUCCUAGUUUUCCUUUUGUUAGGUUGUUGUUGGGUGUUCAUGAUAGGAAUUUAGAUGGUUUUCUGGUGUUGUUUAGUUUUCGCUCUUAUUUUUCUGUGUGAAGAUUCUUUGUUUUUGUGGAAAGAAAUUUGAGGACCAGUUUAACUAUCUAAAAGUCAAUAAAAAAUAAAUAAACUCCUUUGGUCACCUUGUUUUAAAAAUUACCUAGUGAUGGUUCAUUUCUUAUAUUUUUAAUUAAAAAAUUAUGAUGUGAUAUAUUUUAAAUGACGUGUCAUACGACACUUCAUCUGUCUCAUAGGAAUUGUCAUUUUUACAUUUUUCUCCGUCUCAAAAUAAAACAGGUGAGUGUUACAAAUAACUUAUUGUUAAAAAUGAUAUAAUUAUUAUUUAAUCAAAAGUUAAAAUUUAUAUUUAAGACAAAUUUUUUAUUUAUAAUUUCUUUAACCAUUGUUCCGAAACAUGGUUUGGCAAAACCCAAUAAUACAAAAGGUUUGAUGUUGAGAGACAGUUAAUGAACCGCGUAAUUGAAAUUAAUAGCGUGUUUAGGCCUUUUUGUUUUAGUGGUACGUACUAGCUAGCUAGCACCAAGGUCCUGGUUUUUUUUUCUUCUUGAUUUCACUUUAAUCAUAUUAAUUGAACUUUGGUUUAAAUGUAGUACUUUUUUGUCCACUUUUGAUUGACUUAACUUUAGGGGUACAAGUUGAUCCUUUAAUUUUUAAAUGUACUAGUAGUAGUUUGGUUAUUUAGUUUAACAAAAUUAAUUUAAGUUAAUCAUUUAGUCAAUUACUACUAACUACAGUAUGUUAAAUUUUGCUUGCGUGGCAGAUACGUGACAAACAACACAAAUAAAAAUGCAAAAUUUUAGUUGCAUAUCAUAUAAUUGAAACCGUAUAUUGUAUGGAGAUUAGCCUCUUUUGCUAUAUUCAAUCUCAUUUGGUUUAGAUAAUUUCUUUUAUAUUAAAAUUUUCAUGACAUUAUGAUGCAAAUUUUCUUGCAAACACAUAAUUUAUUAGUUGAUAAACUUCAAUAAAAAUUUAGCAUAAAAAAUGCGUUCUCAAGCUAAAAUUCAACCAUUAAACACGAGCAAAGUAAUAUAUUGACAAAUUCGUAAAACUCACCUAAAAAUUGGGGUAUUCAAUCACUUUGGACCACUUCUUUUAUAUUGUAUUUUAUUUAGAAUUUAACUUUUUCCGAAUGCACUUUAAUUAAAGUUUGUAAUGUUAUUAAACAUAGAAUAUGAACACAAUUAUACACUAACCACAAUUCGACGACCAUAUUUGUAGAACAGUGCCCCUCUUUCCAUAUUGUUGUGUUUGUAAAGCAUCUUACGGGCCUCUCUACGUUAUUGUAAAAAGAAGUUAGGCACACAAAAAAAAAAAAAAAAAAAAAAAAAAAAAAAAAGAGGAAGGAAUCAUCCUAGUACGUAUAAGAGUAUAUUUUAAUGAUAUAAUUUUGGCUUAAUUAUCUUUUUGGUCCUCUAAUUAUUUAAUUGGUAUCGGAUUGGUCCUCCAACUAAAAAUUGAUUUAUUUCGGUCCUCCAGGUUUUUCACCGUUACUACAUUUAGUCAUUUCUGUUUGUUUUUAUUCAAAUAAACGUUAGAGUUUGUGUUAUGUGGGUACCUGACCUCCUGUUUCACACAUAGAUAUGAACCAUAACAGUUACCAAUAAUAUCAGUCACUAUUUAAUCAUAAUACCUUAACAAGAAAUAAAAACAAAAUGAUACUAAUAAAUAAAGUUAGAGGACCCACAUAACACAAACUCUAACGUUUAUUUGAAUAAAACUAACAGAAAGGAUUAAAUGUAGUAACAGUGAGAAACUUAGAGGACCGAAAUAAAUCAAUUUUUAGUUAGAGGACUAAUCUUAUACCAAUUAAAUAGUUAGAGGACCAAAAAUGUAAUUUAGCCUAUAAUUUUUCAUUUUCAUUAAAAAAAAAUUACCAUUAUUUAAAGUAGUUACAUAAACCUUUCAAAAAUAUAUUUACAUUAAACAUAAAUAAACUAUUAAUAAAAUAUAUUUUUGAUGGAUUAAGAGAAUUUUUUAUUGGAAAAGAAUAUAUUUAUUCUUUUAUAAAUAUGACACAGCAUUGACUAUUUUUGCAUUAAAAAAAGAAAAUGACACAUCAUUGAUUUUUAUUUUUUUUAUAAUUGAGGCCUAUUUCUAAAAAAAUAAAUUGUUAUAUUACCUUGAUAUGUAAAAAUUGUUGAUUUUUUAGGUAUAAAUUAGACCAUAAAUAUGAAAGACAAAACUUUCUCACAACAUGGUUCUUUAUUAAUAGUUGCUUUCAUUGAAUAUCAACUAUGGUUCUUUAUUUUUGUCAAAAAAACACUUUAGUUCUUUAUGAAAAAUCAACUAGAGACCUUUGAUUAAACUCAUGAAAAGGGAAAAUGUUAUUUCAUCCAACUAUUCUUUAAGUAAAUUGUUAUUAAUUGUUGAUUUUUUAAUGAUUAUGUAAAAGUAAGUUGGAACAUUGAGAAUAAUUAUGAAAAGAUUUACGCAAAUAGGUAAUGGCUCCAAACAUGGUGGUCAUGAUGGUAAAAGUAAAACAGAUGCACUUGCUUUUUCAUAAUGUCGUUAAUAAUGCAAGAGCCACUCAAGUUGAAGGACCAAUAACAUGAUGUCACGUGACUUGAAUUUGUGAGAUUACUCCCUACUUUUCGAUUCCAUAUUCACUAAAAAAAAAUCUCCAAAUAUACCUUAGAAAAUAAGAUAGUACUAGUUAACAUCAACUAAGUAACAAGUAUAUAAUAUUAGUUGAAAAUUAGUACUAGUUGUGAGAUUACGCAAAUAUAUUUGAAAAUUAGAAUGUUAAUUAGUGCCCUUAAAAUAUUAUUUGAAAUACUAAAUAUAAUAUGUUUAUAUUAGGACAAUAUUCUCUUUACUAAAAUCUUUAAACGUUACUCUUAUAACAUUCGUUAACUUAACCCUAAAUAUUUGUGUUUUUUUUCUUCAAUAUGAAUGCAUACUAUGGUGGCUUCUCUUUUUGUAAAUGACAGACGACGACAUAGGUAGGGGGAUAAUAAAAGGUGAUAGGAUAGUUAUCUUGCCAAUUAUAAAAAAGGAAAAGUUAUGUUGCCUUAUUCAAUAUCGAGCAAGGUGAUAAGAUCAUCUAUUUUAUAAUUUUUUUAGUGAUAAUACUUAAUAAUCAAUCAAUCUCAUUAACACAGUUUAUACUUCCUUCGUUCUUUGUAUGUUGGCACCCUUCAUCUGUAAUAAAAGGGUGGGACGGAGGGAGUAUAUUGAAAGUUUAGGACUCACAACAAGAUAGUGAAAAAAGAGAGUGUAUCUAUAACAAUUUUUAUCUACAAAUAUCAAAAUCUAUUCAUUCUAUAAUGAGGGUGUUUAUUUAGUUUGAUGUUAGAUAGAUGAAGGACUACCAUUUUAUAUGCUUUAAGGAGUUUUCUAAUACUUAGUAUAUCCUAAUUUUUUUUUUAAUGUUUAAAGUAUUUUAUUUUAUACCCAUUUUAACUAAGAUUAUUUUAGCAAAAUGUAUUUAUAUCAAACUAUUUUUAUUUUAUAUCAUUGAUGAAAAUAGAGAUGAUUUCUUAAUAUGUUAAUAAUAUGCAGAUAAAAAAACACAUAAACAGUGUAUACAAAUAUUUUUUUAAUUGCAUCUGAGGUGUAUUUUUAAAAUGAUAUUGCAUCAUACACAAAUGUAUCUUUUACUAUUCAAUUUUUUUGGUCAAUUUACCUCAAAGGUGAAUAAGUGGGGUGUCCGAGGUUCGAACCUUGGCCCCUGCAUAUAUGCCAUCUUUUAUCAUUUGAUUAAUAAAUUAUAUCAUAUUUCAUUUAAUCUAAUGAUGAAAUUUAUUGAUUCAAUAAUGUAAACUUUUUUUUGAACAAACAAAAAUGGAUUAUAUUAACACUGCAAUAAUGUAAACUAACUUGUGCAUAAUGCAAGACUUGUUUCACUUGCGUGUCAUAGAAUUGGUCUAAAAGAUGGUAUUAAUAUUUGGGUCGUGCUAACUACUGUUUCUGAGAUAAUUUUAUUAUAUUUCUUAAGACACUUAAUAUUUUUCUUGUGUAAAAAAAAAAGGACACUUAAUAUUUUCCUUAAAAGUUUUUUUUUAUGUUCAUUCAAUAUGACUAAGUGGGGAACAUAACUUUUUGUAAUCUCCGAAAUUGCUGAAUAGAGCAUUUGACAAAAAUGGAGCCACCGAAUCCACAAUGAAGAAGACCAACGUAAAUGAUGAAAGAGGCUUUGUGAAGAAAAAAGUUUAUUCUUAUUUAUUAUUUCUUCCCCACCUAACUAAUGAACACAGUCACCACCUUAUCAUCAUCGUCAUCCAUGCAUUUAAUGGACCAUCACAUUAUUUUGGUACACAUGACAUUCCAUGGAAGAACCGUAUAUGUCACUCACUCAUAUACGAGAAUAUAUUUUCUAAUAUCAAAAUUAUAUUUAAUUGUUAUAUCCAUUUUUUUUUUUUGUGAGCUUUGUUAUUGACGGGUUGGUGUAAAGAUCUCUAUACUAUGACAUUUUGGUACAUAUGUCAUUCUAUGGAACACUGUCUAUACUACUAUUACUACUUUUAUUUAGAAUUUUUACUUUUAUUGUCUUCCUUUAUAUAGAAUUCUCUUUAACUUUUAUUGUAUUGCUUAUUUUUUUACUAAAAUAUCCCUAACUAUUUUCACAUUUCUUGAAUUUUAGUGGUAGGCUUCAUUCCUGUAUUCAACUUUUGGAGAUGAUGAUCAAGCAAUUACAACUUACUAUUGAUUAAAGUAAACGGCUCUUUAAUUUGGAUAUCUUUUGGAUUUUGGAUUCUUUAUCUGAUAUAGAUAGCGAACUUAAAAGAAAUUAUCUUAAGGACACAUGCUGAUAUUUCUCUUAAUUAAGAGAAAUGAUAUUUGUAUAAUCAUUUUUGUACAACCUUCUCUCUCAUACUCACAUUAUCUUCUUAUUCUCUCUCUUUCUUUUUCUCUCUCUAUUGUUUUUAACCAAUAAGAAGAGAACACAACAAGGUUGUCCCAAAAGUUAUACCAAAAGAGUUGUUCAAAUAUCACUGCUCCUUGUUUAAAAACUAUAUGAAAAGUAAGUUUUAUAUAAAAGAAAUACUCGAUUGAAUAAUUCAUAGUUAAGUUAGUUCAAUUUGAUUCGAUUCUAAACAAUUAACAAAUAACCAUGGUUAAAUCAAUAGACAAACUAAUCGAUUUCUUGUUCAACUGGUCGAUUUAGUGCUAUUGUGAUCUCGUCAAGUUCAAAUUCAGGAUUUGUUUUGAAGUGAUUUGAUUUCAUUCCAUGUUCACAUAGUUUAUUUCCUUUUUCAUGUGUUCUUUUUAGUAAAGUACACUCUCUUUUCUUAAGAGAUAUUUUAGAUUACACGACUCACCCAUCCCAUGUUAAAAUAUACAUUAUCAUAUCCUCUUUAGCAAUUACUCCUAAUUGGUUAGAUUUUCGACAUUAAUACCUUAUUUUUAGCAGUUUUAGUAUGAGUACAAUGACUAAAGACAAAAUCAAAUAAAUUUCAAGAUACAACAUAUUUGAAGCUUUUAAUUGGUGAUGUUUUGAUUUUUGCAUUGAUUGUACUUGGAAACUAUAGGGUCUUGCAAGAAUCAUUGGUUAGAAGUUAGAACUUCUAUCACAAUUUCGUCAAAACAAGUGCACGGUUGAACUUGAAUUGGACUUCAUGGAAAAAGCGGGAAAGUAGGCAUGUGUCUGUAGUCUGUUUUGUACAAUUUAUGAUGUAGGUACAUCUACUUUUUUUUACCGAGUCUUGGCAAGUUUAAUGGAGGAAAUAUAAACUCAGAUAAAUGAACCAAAAGAACAAAAAAGAAAGAACCCAUCAUGUGAGGAUGAGUCUUUUUACAUUCUCUUGGUUAUACUAACAUAGCACUAGAUUGCAUGCAGGUGUUUGUGGAAAUUAGUUGUCUCCAUUAAGAAUCUCUCAUGUUUUAUCUGUUGGAUUAAUCUUCACCAUUCAAACACCAGCCAAUUCACUGAUGCACAAGUAAUUUUCUUCACUUUUAGAUCGAUAAGGCUCACCAUAUCACACUUGACACUGUAAUCUUAUUUUUGUAUCAUUCCACUCGUUCCAUUCCAUCCAUCCAAACAGAGCCUGGACAUUGUAAUCUUAUUUUUGUAUAUCAUUAAUUCUACCACCAUUAAAAAUGAUGUUGUCGGAAACAGGUGAUAAUAAUUUUCACAAUGGAUAGUUUCUUUUUCAAAUAAAAAGAAGAAAAAAAAAACUAAUAGAAAUUGUAAAAGAAAUAAAUGCUAGAGGAAUUUUAUUUAAUAAAAAAAUUAUAGUACAUGUUUACAGAAUUUGCAAAUAAAUCACCAUGAAAAGGGGCUAGCUCCUAGCAAAAAUAUUUCAUUUUCCACAUCUUUUAUCCAUUGACAAACACGGUUGCAUGUCUUUAUUGCCAAGGCCUGCAUAUAUUCAACAGUGUACAAACAUUUGAGAAUUUAUCAAACUAGAGUUGCAAAGAAAUACAUGUACAGUAAUUUGUAAAAUUUGACCAUUUGCUUAUUUAAUAUAGCUUUCCCUACUUUUUACAAACAAGUAGACAAAACAGCUUUGCUUUUUAAUAAAAAGACCAAAUGCAAUCCGUGGUCCUUUAAGUUAGAGGUUACAACAUAUUAGUCUUUUAAAUUAUUAUUUUUGUAACAAAUUGAUUGUUUAAGUCAUAAAAUAUGUACACCCUUUGAUAUAUAUAGACCAGAUACAUCAAUUAUUCAACGAAUCUGAAAAGAUUUUUUUUUUUUAUAAUAGUGACCGGAGGAGGGUGUACACCAUUACCCUUUUUUAAAUUUUCCUUCAAACUCAGAUAAAAAACACUAACAUGGACGUUGUAAUGGUGACGUGGCAAGUACAGGUAGGAUUACAAUCAAUAUUUUAUUGUGUAAAAUAAUUUAUUUUAUUAAAAAUAUAAAAUCCAAAUUAAAUAAUUAGGGUUCUUAAGACUCUCUAAUCAAACCCAGAAAUUACCAACCCUCUUUCAAAUCUCAACACGACCUCUUCAUCAUCAUCAUCAUCAUCAUCAUCAUCAUCAAGUGUUUUCUCUAUGGAAUUUUCUCUUCUCCAUCUCUCACAUCAAGUGAGAUCAAAACCCUUAUUAUUCAUCUCUAUGUCAAUCUCAGAACCGUUUUUUUUAUUAAAACUGUUACUUCUCUUCCAUUUAAAUUUGAAUUCAUCCCACCUUUGGUUCAACCCAACCGUACAAUUUCAAUUUCACGCAAACUCAAUAAGAGGGAAUCCCUUGUUUCUUAGGUAAUAAUUCAUAAUUAACCAUAUCAUAAACAAUGCAAUUACAGUGAUUUUUUUGUGGAUCUGUCCUUUUUUAAUUUCAAAUGUCUACAACACUUAGAAGAUUGGGGUUCAUUCAAUGAAGUAUAUUGGGUUUUUAUUGUUGAUUUGUGCCUUCAAAUGUAGGUUACUAGUUUCCAUGUCAAUGUCAAUGAUAUUGCUGUUGUUGUUACAGGCAUCGGAUACGGGUUGGGGGUUUUGUUUUGAGGAAAAGGAAGGAAGGGACAUGUUUGGACUGGAUGAAGGUGCAGGAGUGAGAGUGCGGAGUGUGUGUUGUUCUUGCAUUUGCGUUGUUGAGGGACAGAGAAUGCAUGCUUUGUUCCCUCAGAUUGCUUCCCUGAUGAAUGGAUUUGAACGACAAUGUUACGGAUGGAAAUGGUUUAGGCUGGAAAUUGCUGGGACCAAGCUUGAUGUUCUACCAUGAAGAGAUUGAAAGAGAGCUGGUAAUUUCUGGGUUUGAUUAAAGGUUUUAAGAACCCUAAUUAUUUUAAUUUAGGCUUUCAUAUUUAGAAUGUAUUUUAUAAAAUAUUGAUUGUAAUCCUAUGUGGACUUGCCAUGUCACCAUCUUUUAACAGUUUGACGCAAAAAUUAAAAAAGGGCAAUGGCGUACACAAUUUACGACUCAGGAUAAAUAUUUAACAAAAAAAAAAUAUAAAGGACUAAUAUUUUACAAACCUCUAACUUAAAGGACCAUAGAUUGCAUUUGGCCUAAUAAAAACUACACCAAAUCCUUAUUUUAUUUUUUUAAAGAGAAGAACGGUAUGCAAAACAUCCAUAAUGAUCGAUUCAAACUUCUAAUACUUUGUUUUCAAACAGGUCUUCAUCGACAGUUAAUUAUGAAUCUAUGCCUAGACACUGAUGGAUAACAUAAGGGAAGGGACAUUCAAGAAAAAAAGAAAAAAUUGUACCUUGUCUGCAAGGGGAUCAAAGGCAGCAUAAAGCUCAAAAUCCUGUGUCACCCAACAUAAAAGAACUGCCACGAAAAAGGUGAUAUGAGUUUCAUCGAAGUUUAAGUGGUUAUCUUUUAUUGGUAUAAAUCUAAAAACUGUCCUCGUGGUGAACCAGCUAAUUUCUCCAUAGAAUAAAGUUUCUUUCUAAAAUAACCAUAAAAGCUUAAAAUUGAGAACAAAGCAAUAAAUAAAAAGACAUGAACUUGUACCCAACCGCUUCAAUUUUCCAUAAAAGAUUGUAUUUGGAAAGAAUCAACUUUUCAAGAAUAUUCAGCAAAUGUAAAUUUGCUCAAAUUAAUUCUGUUUGUGUAUUGGUAAGUAAAAUUACCAAGAAAGAUACAAAAGUUAAAUAUUACGAGGAAAAAUUUGUAAAAGUAUGAUCAGUGUGCGUCAAUGCAUUUAGACAUAACAGACAUAGGAAAAAAAUAAUUUAACAUCCUGCUAAAUGCCGUUUCACGAAAAACCAAUGUAAAAAAUGUAUUAUGCCAUGUCCUUACACAUGCAUAUUCUCCACCCAAUUAACAAAUAGUCAAAAUGAAGACGCACAAUGCAGAUAUCCAUUUUACUUGAGACAGAAUCCCCAAAAAUAUGCGGUAAGAGCCACAAUAUUUAUUACCAUAGUUUUCAUCUCUUCUAAACUGAGUUCUGUGUGGUCCGAUUCCUUUAUCAUGCAUUGAUGCAAAAAGUUUCUGGUAAGCUCUAUACAAUCUGCAAUAAUUAAGUAGGUUAUAUUUCUGACAGAAAAAUACACAACGGCGGUGAAAAAUUUAAAAAGGCCAUAGCACCUAAAGACAUAAAAAGUUGAGAUAACGUAAAAAAAAAAAAAAAAAAAAAAUAGCACCUUUUCUGCUGUUGACGAGUACUAAUUGAUGAUGAAAACUCUGAAGAGACAUACUGAUCCAGGUAUAUACUGCGGUAUAUGAAAUGCCACAACCCAGCAGGACCCCCAAUGCCAUGAUGAGGGUCUUUAAAUCUUUCAGGAGAAUCUGAUGGAUGCAUGUGCUGACCCAAAUGAGCUGCUCCAGACUGAGGUAUUGGUGGUAGAUCUUCAACAUGCAUUCCUCCGUCUAGCAAGGAUCUCUGAACUUCACUGAGGACAUUGGACUUCAAAAGGACCGUUUCAAUACAAAUCCUACAAAUUUCCAUAGAAAGAUAGUUGCUAAACAGAGACAUGUGAUCGCUUUGUAAAGUUAAGGUUUGCACCACCACCAACAAUAGUAAGAUUGGAUUAUAACUCGUCAUUUACCGGCAAUCCUUAAGAUGAUAAAAUGCAUCUGAAUUAGUGGUUAGCAACAUCAAGUAUGUGUCCGCCUGCCACAUAUAUACAAAGCACUGUCACUUCUUUCCUAAUGUUAAGAAAAAUAAAAACAUUGGCCAGUGCACAUGUAUUAAAAUCUAACUCACAUCAAAAUAGUGGAUAUAUGCAUACAAAAAUGCUGAAGGAUUGUAUCUUGGCAAGCAAACUGGAGAAAAUGAUUCCGACGUCCUGCACAAUUAUUGCCCAUUGAAAUAGAAUAAGGACGUGCAGAAAGAAUGCUUAAUAAGAAAUCCAUAUACUAUAGCCAAGAAUUAAGCUCCUUUAAUGUAUGAAUGUUCAAUAAGUAAUAGCAACAGUAAAUACGCUAGACCGAAUAUUUAAAAUGUUAAAGCUAAAUGAGAAUAAAGCUGUAAAUAGAGUUGCUCAUUUUAACCAGAUAAAUGGUUUAACCACAACCAGGUUCGGAUCCAGAUCCGGUUAAGCAAAACUGGAUAAAUUGAUUUGGAUUUUUUUUACUCGCCUAUAUAAAUUGAUAUUGGUGGAUAACCAUAUCCAAUUAGUUGGAUACCCAUAAUCAAAGGCAAAACCAAAUUCUGCUUUGGUCUCUCUCAGUCUCACUAUCUCACAUCUCCAACCAAAUUCUGUUUUGCUUCUCGCUUAAUUCCCACCUAUUGACUCUCUCCCUCAUUGGAUUCCUGUGUUUUGUAUUCUGCUAGUAUGAAGAACUAAUAAUAAUUGCAAUUAUAAUUAUAUCUAAGAGAGGAUUGGCAUCCAGUAAAACAAGAGAAUAGAUCUGCGAUUCGGCUUAAUCAAAUCAAGAAAACCCCACAACCGUCGUUGAUUUUGUCAUCAUUGUCACCGUCAUCAACCUCUGUGAUGGUGCCACCGUUGUCCAUGUCUAACUGCUAAUCCAAUACAACGUUGUCCACGGCGCUUCUCUCCCCAUGCCGGUCUGUCAUGCACAGUCCUCCACAAUUCAUCAUGUUCUUUGCUCAAGGUUCAGAUUCUUCAUUUUUAUUCGCCAAUUAAUUUUCUUUUUUUUUUUUAUUUCAAUUUAUUUUCUGGUUGUUUAGUUUUUGGGAAACGUAAAUUUGGAUAAUGAUUCUUGGUCUGAAAGUUGGAACUAAAAAAGUACCCAAAAAAAAUGUGAAUUUCAUGGUUCAUUUAAUAUCUAAAAUCGGUUAUAUCAUGAAUAAAAAAUUGUUUAUAUCGAGUAAAAGAAAAGAUGGUUACAUUUAUAUAUAAAAAUUUAGUAGAAUCUAAAACUGGUUUAAAAUCUAAAACCGGUAAUUAAACCAAUAACUGGUUUUGUGAAAAUAAAACCGGUUGUAUGUAUUGGUUAUGAUAUCCGGUUAUAUGUUAUAACAAGUGGUUGUGGAUUAGUUAUAUCGACAAUCCAAGCUUGAGCAACCCUAGCUGUAAAGAAUCAACAUGGUCUCCCCAUCUAAAAAACUGAUCACCGUAUAAUGGAAGAUAUCCAAAACAUACUAGUACUUAGUUGUGGAAACUUUAAGCAAAGAUCUACAUGUUAACUUAAAUUACUUUGCAAUAAAAAUAAGAUUCAUAAGAACUGGAGGAUUAAGAUCAUCUCAAUCCUAGAUAGGAAAACUUAAUACAUCAAGUUUUCAUAAAUCAUAGUUGCCAUAAUUACCUCUAAAAGAAAACACUAGAAUGCUUAUAACUUCCAUAACCAAAAUAAACAAUUAACUAAAUCUUUAAGAAACGUGGAGUAAGUUAUACAGUCAAAUUAAACCAUCGGCUAUUGUGAGUGCUAUCUCAAAAAUAUUAUGAAUUUUACUUGCCUGAAGGAUUCUGAUGACAUGACAAAAUUGGCCAGCAGCAACAUAUCAUCUGGAUGAAGGGAAGCUUUCUGAGCGCCAACAAGACUAAUCACCUGCAUUCAACCUUCAAUGUGUUAUUAUUCUAAGUCAAAAGAUAAAUAAAAAGAAAAAAGUUACCAGAGUCAAACCUUGUGCCUGCACAUCAGUGUUGCAAACAGAACACCAGAAUCAGCAAUGUCUUGUAAGACAGCGCCAGCAGCUUGCCUCGUUGCAUAAGAAAGAGGAAGGCAAGUAUAGGCAUGAAGAAAUGUAGCCGGGUUCCUAAAAUAGACACACAAAUAACAAUAUUUACUACCAAGAUAUAAAGAAGAAAGUUGGGAAAUAGGGCAUGCUAAGAGCAGAGAAACAAACCAACUGAAAGAGUGAAUCAAAGAAGAGAAGACGGUGUCUGUUCCACCAAGUAAGGGUGUCAUAUCAAACUUCGAAUUCUUCUCAAAACAUUUGUUUAUUGAUUUUGUUAAUAUAACAAGGAUCUGCACAUAUGUGGACAACAAGGAAAUGUCAUUAGAACGUCCUAAUGAAGCAUUGUCAAUUUGAGAAGUAAUCGAAUUCAGUAAUUUCCACAGUACAACUCAAUUAUACCUGUCCAUAAAUUAGUUCCAACUGCCCCCUUAACGACUCAUAAGGUUCUUCCGUGGAGCUGAUGCAAACCAAGUAAAUUGGUCCUUUCACAAGAAAAACCACCUACACCAUAUUUUCAAACUAUAAUGUUAAUAAUAAUGAAGCAUAUAAAAUCCAAGCAUAAUAAAAACAUCAAUAAAUAAUAAUAAGCAUGUGAUCAGUUGAUCAGACCUGAUGUUUUCCAGCUCUCACCAAUUUGAUAGAGUCACCCCUAACAAAGAGUCCAAUGCAAAAUCAAAUUAAAAUACGUACAUUAGUGUUAUUAUUCAAUUAAUUAACAAGAAACAGAAAGAGAGAUUGUAUUAAUACCCAUUCUCGACAAAAGAAACGAUUGCUUGCAAAGUAGCUGAAAACCCUGCAAGCUUGUGUUCAUCUCCAUACCUACAAGGAAACAAAAAAAAUGCAACAAAAGAAAAUCAAGAAUAAGACCAUGUGACUGUGAACAGUGUUGUUAAAUAACAGCUAUAUUGGCCCUAUACGGCUAUAGCGUAGCAGAUUUCGACAAAUUGCUAUUGUUCUGUGAUACACUACCUAGUGUUAAAGUUUUCAAAUAGCUGCUAUAACACUAUUUCAUAGCGGAAUUUUAAUAAUCCGCUGUUUUUUGCAAUCUAUGAGUGAAUGAACUAACCUAGAAUAUAUAGGUUUGCCAGAAUUGCUAAGAAUAAAGAAAUGCUUCUUCCUUUUUCUCCAUGAUAUAGAACCAUCGUCCUGCACAUAAUACGAUACUUAUAGAUAGAUAUAGUCCAUGAAACAACUAAACAGACACCGAUACCAGUAAUAAUUGACACUUGCGAAAAUGACAUAGUUCAAUGUAAUCACCGAAUACUACUGACACAUGCAUUUGGUGCUACAAAUGGAUGAGACGAUUAUAGUAAUGCAUGCACUACAUAGAGGUGAAUUCAAUGUAAGUACCUCAUCUUGAUGUCGUUUUCCAGGAAUCCAAUCAGUAUUAGAAUCAGUGAUCGAAAUUUCAUCGAUUUGAUUCCGAAUCCUCGAUUGUUCUUCUUCUUCUUCAAUUUCAUCAUCAUGUUCGAUCUCAAUUGCGGAACCGGUGGUGGCACUAGUGCUACCUCCACCUUCUCCGGCGUAACCGCUACUACUAGGGCUUGAAGGGAGAUCCAUUUCUUGCUCGGAACCGGUUCGAACCCAGACAGUAUUUGAACCGGGUUCGGUUGAAGUUCGAAUAUCUAUAUCUCUUUCUUCUGUUACCGGUUCGGUGGAUUGAGAUGAUGAUGACAUAGUGAGGAAGUGAAGUGAGAGAAAUUUUUUGGAGUUUUGAAAUUUGUUUUGUUAGUUUGUUAUUUACGCUGCUGCCAGUCGGUCGUUGAUUGCCGUGGUGAAGUCUGACCGGUUGGUUCGUGCUUGCGUUCAGACAAGGCAACGAUCGUGUCCUCAUGCUUCCGGGCUGGGCUAGUUCAUUGCUUUUCAAGGCCUAAACUGGCCCAACCAAUGCUCAAAUAUUUUUGGCAAUUACUUUUCCCAACGUACUCUCUUCUCGCGCGCCCUCUGACUUAUUCCUUAAAUAUUUCUGUUGUUCGGAUUAUAUAAUUCGAACGAAGAUAAAACAUGCUUUAAAUUAUAUAAUUUGAAAGCGUUGUGUUAUUAGAAUAAUUAUUUGGAUGACAAUUUUUGUGACAAUCAUAAAUUUAUAAGGAAAAUGAAAUAUUGACACAGAAACCAAAGCAAUAGAGAAAGAAAGUAAACACAUAAUGUGAGUAUAAGAAGGAAAGUUGUCAAAAAAAGAUUGUACAAAUAUCAGUUUUUUAUGUUAUAUGUAAGCAACAAUUAGAACUCUUUCCAUUUCAGCAGUUGUGAAUUUUACUUUUAAAGUCAACUAAAAAAUAGUAAAAAAUGAUAAAAUUCGUCAAAUAAAUAAAUACCACCAAAAAGAUUUUAAAAAUCAAAUAAUGCUAAAGUAAUUUUUUUUAGGAUUUUCUUGAGAAUUUGAAUUUUGAGGAGCGGAGUCUGGUAAGAAAAUCCUUUCUAAAGGAGUUUGUUCAAUGAUUUUUUUCCUAAUUUUCUCGGCAAGUUUUGGAGCAAUUAUAUCAAAUAGUCUGAAAAUCGGAUUUUCGACUGGACAUAGCAGAAAUCACUAACAAUGACCUAAAACACAGGGCGGGGGUUACUAUGGUUAGUAAGGUUAUUAAACCGGACAUCCCUGUCACAAACAGGUUCAAGUCUUUGCGCUGAUACAGUUUGAAUUGUAUACAAUAUGUUUUUUCCAUGAAUUCAUGGCACAAGAAAGUGUAUAGGGGCGAAUUUUAUAAUUCGAGUAUCCACAGAUAAUCGAACUUGAGACCUUGAGGAGGAGCACACUUUCAGAUCCUAAACUAAUACCACCAAACCAACCUAAGCGGGUUAAAUCAAUUUUGUUGAUAACGGAACUAAAUUGUUGGAUGGGAUUUUAAUUGGAUAUGCACUAAAUUGACGAGAGAGUGACAGUUUAAGAACUAAAUCGAGGGUUUAUAUUCAUAUUGGUUGGUAGUGCCUUUUUACAAAUUGCAUUUAUCUAAAAUUUGAGGAAAACCUUCUUCGAGUAUAUAUGCUUGUUUUGUGAUACAACCUGUUUUGAAUAUUUGUAUCUGUAGUAAAAAAAAAUGACUUUGUUUUGAAAUACUUUAGCAUUUCACAUAGUCACUUGACUUUGACUUGCUAUUUGUCUCGUAAUGUUAUUCAAAUUUUGGGUGUAAUAGAGUAAACAUCAAGUUGUCACACUCCAUUUAGCUCUAAUUGGUCUUAAUGCUUCAACGAUCUUCGUGAACUUAUUUGGAUUUGAGAAAGACUUAAUUGUUUUUUAUUGAUCGUUUUUUGUUUGACUAACCUUCAUUCGAUUGAUUGUUGUUCUCGAUUAACAAAUUGAGUAGCUGAGAAAUGUUAAGAACACUCUAUUUUUAGUUAUCUCUAAUACCCACUCUUUUAUUGGGUGAAAUUCAUGUGAGUCUCACCACUUUAUGUGAGAGUUUAAUUCAUUUCUAAUAUGUGAUACUCACAUGUAUUUCAUCCAAUAAAAAAUUAUUGUUAGAGAUAAUGUUAAAAAGAGAAUGUACAUAACACUCUUCUUAAUUAGAUAUAUGUAUAAAAUAAAAUCCUCUUUAAAGAAAAAUAUAUGUAUAAAAUCCUUUUAUACUACUUUCGAUAGAUUCAAGUUAAACUAAUAUCACUUGUAAUUCAAAAAUCACUAUCUAUAACUAUUGUUUUAAGAUCAGUAUUAGCAACACUCUCUUUUUGACACUCUCUCUAACACUCAUUCUCUCAUCGAAUUAAAUCGAUAUGGGUCAUACAUUUUGGAAAUAAAAUCCACAUAAAGUGGUAGGACAUACAUUGAUUUUAUCCAAUAAAAGAGUGAAUGUUAGAGAGAGUGUCCAAAAGAGAAUUUAUUAGCAUUUCUUUUGUUUUAAUAAAUAAACACUAAUAUCUAACCUUUUUUUUUUAAGGAAAACACUAAUAUCUAACUAUUAUCAUCCACUAUGUCGAUGAUUGGAUAUUUUUAGGCUAUUUGUGGUAGAGGAUGACCUGCCAUGUGGCCAUUUUAUUAACUCCCAAGACCUAACCUGCCAAAAAUCACAUCGAAACCCCACCCACCAUGCGAUAUGCACCAAUUUAUUGAGCAACCAAGACUAUUUUCAAUUUCUGCUCUUACAAUGACCCUACUCCCUUUCCUUCCUCAAAUCUCCAACAAUCGUUUUGAUUUUUUAUGUUUUGCUAACAAUGACUAUACAGUUUUUUUAAAAAAUUAAUAUUUAUAUAACCAUCUCUUAACAAUUUUUAUGGUAAACUUAUCACUUAUACUUAUAUUAUGUUUUUAUUUAUUUUUUAUUAUUUUGAUUUUUGUAUCAAUACAUCUUUUUCUUUAUAAAAUCUUGAUUAUCUAAAAAAUUAUCAUAUAAAUAAUUGUUUAAAUAACACAACUCUAAUUUUUAAUAUAAAAGUUGUAUUAUUUCGUAUAUUUAAACAACAAUUUAAAGACAUUUAUUAGCAUUUUCUUUUCUUCUUUUCAUCAAAAGAGACACACUUCAAUAAUUGAGCAUAACCUCAUCAUAGGUAUCGUCUCAUCACUCUCUCUAUCAAAAUAAAUACUGACUCGAUGUUGGGUUUGUUUAUUCUUUAUUAUUUGUCGUUUUCAAUUUGUUUAGAUUUUAUCAUCAUUUUCUAAUUUUGUACAAUGAUGUAUUUAGUAGGGGUUGGAAAAACGACGAAAAUUUAUAAUACAGAGAAACUAGCACUUAUAGUUUUUUUUUUACUGAUAGUUACAGUUUUUUAUUUCUAAAAUAAAAUUAAAAUUAUAUAAUUUUGUUUUUUUAGUGAGAAUUAUGGAUAGUGGUAGUGUGAUUUAUUUGUUUUUAUUGGUCCUCUCGUACUAAGCAAUAUUUUUUUUUUUUAAUCUAUAUCAAAUGUGGUCAAAUGUGCAUUCACAAGUUACUGUGAGACGGGUGAGGGUUCUAUCAAUUAUUAUUUUGUAAAAAAACUCAAAAUUAUGCAUCAUUAUCAUUAUUACUUUGAGUAAAAAAUUAAAAUAUGAUAAAUAUAUAAUUAAAGAUAUUACUUGUGAGAGUUAGAUUGCUCAAUGUUUUGAGAAUUCGAAACAUUAUAUAAGCAAAAGACAAAAAAAAAAAUUGAAGAAGUAAACGACUAAAUAAAUUCAUGAAAAGUAGCAAAAAUUUAUUAAUUUUCUUAAUAUAUAAAUAACUUUAGAAUUUAGACUAUUAGAUUAAUGAAAGCAAUAAAGACUUCAAAAAAUAAAAACAUUAAUGUUGAUGAAAAAAUCCUUAAUUCUUCAUGAGGAUAUGGACAUCAAUACAAACACCAGGUUUCAAAUCAAUAUCCGCAACCUCAUACAUGUUAAUCAUCUCAAUCUCAAUACAAACGUAAAUAAUAGAUUUCACUUAUUUUUUGAGUAAAUGAUAGAUAUAUUUCACUUAUAGUAAACACAUACUAUAUAUUAUACGAACGUAAUGUGCUCACCCACCAAAAAUAAAAGCAAAAAAACACAGAAAAAUGGUAAAAUUAUUGGAACCCAGUUUUUGCCCAUAUUGCAUUUCUAAGCCUGCUAAGAUCUCUUCCCUUGAGAGUCCUUCCAACACCUUCGUGUACAGAGAAAGAAGCCACUCUUGUCCUCGCCAAAAAUUCAUGUGGUGGUAACCACUCAUCGUCGUCUUCAUCCUCUUCUUCCACGUAAUUUCUCUUGGUAUAGUUAUUUUUGUACUCAUCCCCGAGGAUCUUAGACCAGUCGGGGAUCUUUACUGGCAUGGACGCUGGAGCUACUCCAGCGUCCAUUUGCUUCUGCUUCGGUGAAGAUGGUUUCUUGGCCAAGCGAGAGCCAUGAAUAGAUUUGCGAAACUCUAUGGAGUUAGCAUGAUUGGAAUUGUAAAUGUCUGAUUCUUCAAAUUCAAACAUGGUAUCUGAAUCCGUUAGAGAAGAGUCUCUAUCACCAGAAAGAAAGAGGUGGUUUCUUCUUGCAAAGUAACCCUUAUUGUUUGCCAUGUUGGUUUUGGAAGUUAAAAUACAAUGUUUUUUUAUCACUAAUAUAUAUAGUAUAUGUGUGUGUUUAGUUGCAUAUGAUCAAUGGUUUAUUUUUUCUUUCUCCUACGUUGUUAAUGGUGGUUCCACAAUGACAUGCCUUUGUCAUGCUUUUAUAAAGAGCUUCAUAUGAAGCUUUUCUUUAUUCUUGUUGUUAAAAAAAGAAGAAAAAAUAAUAAUAUUGGGUGGCAUUGUGGAUAAGGUUCAAUAUUCUUUCUCUGUCCUUUCUUUCUUUCAUUUCGUCAGUUUGUGUAUGUGAAUGCCAAAUCACCCACCAAUUUUAUAAGAAAAUAAGAAAAUCCAAUUCUGGCUUCAUUCACCAAUUUUACGGUUCAUCCAUUAUUGAAUCUUUUUCGGAAAGUUAGUGUAAUAUUUAAGACCACGUACUUUCAUUGGAUUUUAACUAUAAACUAUUUACUUCCCUAAAAAAAAACUAUAAACUAUUUACUUUUUUUUAACAGUCUCGUUUGAUGCUUUUUUUUUUUUUUUUUGAGGGAAUGUCUCGUUUGAUGCUAGAUAUAAGUUCGGGAGAUUGUAUAUAAUAGGUUUAAUUGCAUUUUCGUGUUCAAAUUUAACAAUAUUUUGGCCACUAAGUUUUUUUGGUUUGAUGUAUUGGCCGCUAAGUUUAAGUAUGUGUUUAGUUAUGUGGUUAAAAUUGAUUUUUGUAAAAUUAAUUUCGAUUAAAAGUGAGUUAAAAUAAGAGAUUUAUGUUUGGAUAUCUUUACAAUAAAAAUGAUUUGUAUGAAAAUAUUAUUUGGAUACUUUGUAUCAAAAUUGAUUUUAGGUGUAUAAAUGACCAUAACUUGUUUUAACAUGUGUGCAAUUGAUCUCGGAGUAUGCUCCUCUUAAAGAGUCAAGUUACAUUCUCUCGAGCGAGAAUUUUGGUUGCUUAAUUUGACUUCUUGAACAAAGCAUGUGUGAAGCUACAAUUUCCAACUUCACAAAGAAUUGAUUAUGAACAAGAAAGGGUUAAUAGGUCUUUACCCCCUGUAAUAUAGGUCAUUUUCGGUUUUCCCCCUGUAAAAUUUUUAUUUUGAUUCACCCCAUGUAAAAUAUUUUGGUUUUAAUUUACCCCCCCUAAUAGGCUAAACAAAAACCAAUUUUAUUUUAUUUUUCAAGAAAUUUUCGUUUUUGUUUGGCCUAUUAGGGGGUAAAUCAAAACCAAAAUAUUUUACAGGGGGUGAAUCAAAAUAAAAAUUUUAUAGGGGGAAAAACCAGAAAUGACCUAUAUUACAGGGAGGUAAAGACCUAUUAACCCAACAAGAAAUGUAUGAUCGUGAUGGUGAGGUGAAUGACAACAAAACAUGACAAAAUUGUGUUUGAGCAGUUGGAUCGUGUGUUCAAUCGUGUCUUCAAUGUUUAUCAACACGUAACCUAUAAUAUAGACUAAAAUGAGUGAUUUUGACCCUCAAUUUUACCUUGUUUUACACUUACUAGUCUUUCAUGCAUGUUUUGACCAAUUUUGACUAAAAAUCAAUCACCUAUGUAGCUAAUUUUAAUUACGUGACAAUAAGACCCAUGUGUUUUUAGAGAGAAGGAGGACCUUCUCUCUCUGAACUUAACAUGCUUUCGUUCACCCAAACUAGGGUUUCACCUUGGUUCAGCGGCGGCAAAUCAACCCAUAUCUUCGUGAUCUGCCUUUCCCGACCAUAUGGGUCGCCGCACCUAGGUGUUCCUAGUCCCUCCCCUCUACUUUCAAGGCCGGUUUGCUCAAUAACCACCUCACUGCCAUCAUGCCUCAGCCGUAUACCAUCACAUACCACCAUGACCCUUCCACCAAAAUCAUCCACGACCUCCAUCUUUCCUGCUUGAGACAACCACAACAAAAGUCCAGAUCUGUUGGUGGUGUCGACCCCAAGACGUGAUCUUCUCCUGACUACACGACCUCCACCCGAGCCACCGCCACCGAACUAUGAGAAGCUUGACAUAAUUGAUGAAUCCAUUGCUGUUGCUACACCUUCUUUCUUGGUACUCAUUCCACCAAUUCCAAAGCCACCAUGGAGUGUCCAUGGUUUGUUGUCCUUGGGCCCUUCAGAUAUGGCUUCUGCUGUUUGUUUAUUUUAUAGUUUAUGUCUUUGUUUUGUCUGGUUUAAGGCUGCACUCUUGUUGUUUGACAAAAAGCCCCAAAAGAGUUAUGUCUUUUGGAACAAAGUAGCCAGUGUAUGUUGGCAAUCCAUAGUGACUAGGGAAACUUACGAGGCUGACUUCCAUUGCAACAACCUCUUUAAUCAUCCACCAACCAUCAAACAUCUGGAAAAUUUGGACAAUGUUGAGACCAAUGAUAGUCGAAAUAUGCGAACACAAGUCAAAGAUAUUAUCCGUAACUGGAUUGGAAAAAAGACUUUGGAUUCUCAUUCUUAUAUUGCUAGGUUUCGGGUUUGUAAGAGGUUGUAUGAACUAAUGCUAGUUUGUUGUUCUUGGUUUGGUUAUGUCCUUUUGACUUUUGAAGGAUCUAUGUGUAUGAUUAACUAUGUUUGUGUUAGUUUUUCUCUCAACUUUGAUUUUCGACAAUGGAUGGGGAAUGCCCCAAUUCAAGUGUCUCAAUCUUUUUGUAAUGCUUGUUGCUUUAUCUAUUGAAUGAAGUUGUUUCACUGUCAAUUUUUUUUUUUACGUGACAUCUCUCUGUAUUUGUCAACAUGAAAAUUGAAGAAAAAAAUAAAGAAGAAUAAGAAGAUAUCUCAUGACUACUUCAUUCAAUCCUCUUUCUUCCUCCUCCACCUUAACAUUAAACAUUCGUUCAUUCUCACUCUCACACUCUAAUAUUUACUUUUUUUUCUUUUGAAAAGGCCAAAAGAUACCGAUAUAUUAAGAAACUGAAACAAGCCAUCGCAAAAGGUGUAUUGAAGAGAGCUUGACCAAAAACAAAGUACUACACAAUAUGAGAAAAAUAUGAUAAACAAGCAAACGAAGCUAAAUAACUGUAGUUAAACAGAAAAUAAGAUUUAGCCUCCAUAAUUGAGUAAACCAUCAAUUUGGUCCAUUUCUUUGUAAGUGAUACAAAAAUUAGUCUACGACUAUAUUAAUAUUUCAAAAUAGUCACUCUCUUUAUCAAAAGUUUUUCAAUUAAGUCCCUCAUCAUGUGAAAGAAACAUGGAAACAUGAGUUUAAUUGAGAAACUUUUGACAAUAUUUCAAAAUAGUUUAUGUUUUUAUCAAAUUUACAAAUUGACCCCUGAUUUCAAUUUUCAAAUAUGGUCCAAAAAAAUUUAAAUUUAUAAAAGUUGCCAAAAAUUAUGACAAUGAAAUUUUUUAUUACUACAUCCAAACAAAAGUAUUAAGAAAUGAAAGUAUUUUAAUGGAAUCAUUUGAAUUGUCUAGAAUUCUAAAUUCUUUAAAAUUUCACAAUUACCUCAUCCAAACACACUCUUAUUUGUUCAACAAGGGAAGAGAUUUGAAUCUGGAGCCCAAUUUGUUCUCGAUUUCAGGCCCAACUCUCCUCCAAUUUAGCCUCCCAAAAAUAAUAUUAUUCUUUUAAAAUUACAACAAGGUCUCCGAAUUGUUUACGACAACCCUAUGUGUCAGGUUACAUAUUAUGUUGCCAUGCCUAACAAUCCUUAUGGUUUGUGUCCGAUUUCCUUAUUUUAAGCAAAAGAUCCAUUAACAUUUUAAUGUUUUUUUUUUUCAACAUUCUUAGUUUCUUACGCACGUGAUGAAAUACAAAUUAUAUAAUCUGAAAAUCCUAAAUACACGCUAAAAUCACCCUAUAACUUUUCGGAUUUUAUAAUCCGAAGCAGACGCAGAGGGUGGGAAAAGAAACUCCCUAACCAUCUUUUACCUACCAAAACACAAAAUAUUUCGUUUGCGUAAAAUGAACUAAAAGCCCAAUAACGAUAAGGCUAAAACAGUCCUUACCCCAAAACCCUACAUAUAAAUCCAUCUCACAAACCAUUUCUCACACUCUUCUCAGUAGCUGCUGCGGCUUCUUCUCCUCAUUUCAUCUCCUCUACGAAACCCUAAUCUCACCCAAACCCUCCAAAAUGCCGCCAAAGCUCGAUCCAUCCCAAAUCGUCGAAGUUUACGUCCGCGUCACCGGCGGUGAAGUCGGAGCCGCCAGUUCCCUCGCUCCCAAGAUCGGUCCUCUCGGUCUCUCACCAAAGAAGAUCGGAGAAGACAUCGCCAAAGAAACCGCAAAGGAUUGGAAGGGUCUGAGGGUGACAGUCAAGCUCACCGUUCAGAAUCGUCAGGCUAAGGUCGCUGUUGUUCCGUCUGCGGCUGCGCUGGUUAUCAAGGCUUUGAAGGAACCAGAAAGGGAUCGCAAGAAGACUAAGAACAUCAAGCAUAAUGGGAAUAUCUCUCUUGAUGAUGUUAUUGAGAUUGCAAAGAUUAUGAAGCCGAGGUCGAUGGCGAAAGAGCUUGCCGGAACUGUGAAGGAGAUUUUGGGGACCUGUGUUUCUGUUGGGUGUACUGUUGAUGGGAAAGAUCCAAAGGAUUUGCAGCAGGAGAUUAAUGAUGGUGAUGUUGAGAUUCCUCAGGAUUGAGGUGGUUGUUGAUUUUUUCACUAUUAUCGUUAAUGUGUUUUUUUAAUAUAAGUUUGAGAAUUUUGUUGUUGAAUUUUACUGUUUUGGAUAAUUUAGACCAUUUUGACGAAUUUUAUCAGUUUAGUUUAAUUAUGUCUAUGGUGUUUCGAUAUAAUUUUGGCAAUGAAUUUUAAUCGUUAUGCCUAUAUUAUUAUGGCCACUCUGUUUAAUGGUGUUUCCAUAUAAUUUCGGCAAUGGAAUUUUGCUAUGGGUAUUCUCUGUUUAAUGCGUGGUUGCUUGAAUUUUGCUGUAAUUUCAUAUUUAAUGUUCUGUGUCUCAGAUUAAUCCAGAUAGUUAUUUAUGAAAAUUACCCUUUUUGUGGGGCGUUGUUGUUUGUGUAGUUCUUGUGUUUUUGUUAUCGGGUGAUUUGUUUGAUAAUAUGUUUGUGCAGUUCUCAGUGUUGUUAUUCUGGAGAUUGUGUCGUGAUUGUAAGUAUGCAUUGAGUUAGGUUUAAAGGUCCUAUUGCUUAUGGAGUUAAAGUUUGAAUUUGAAUUAAAUUGAAUAGACUAUACCAAUGAAUAAUCAAUUCUAGGAAAGUCUCCCUUGACACAAUUGGUUGACACAAUUAGUUGAGUGUGGCCUUGUUUUAUAAUUGUCAUCACUAUUAAGUGUUAGCUGCUGUACUGCAUUCUCUUAUAAGUUACUGCUGUAAUUGUUUGCAAGAUGUGAAUAUGUCGGUUGGCUCCUAAACUGUUGAUUCUAUACAUAUUCCUGUGUUAUUGGUUGUCUAGAUUUCAUGUUUUGUUUAUCCUGUUCUUGUUAGACAUUUUAUGCAGGGAUUGAGUUUGAGUUUUUAUGCUUUGUCUAUUGUGGUUCUUUGUUAGAAACAUGUAAGGAGGGAUAGAGUUUAAGUUUUUAGGACACACUGCCAAUGUCAUCCUCUUUAGAAUCAAUGCCAUUAUCUCUGGAAUUAACUAUUCUUGGAUUUGUUAUUGAGAAAUUGAUUUUGUAAUUAAUUAUACAGAUGCAUACUGAUUAACAAUCAGUUUCAAAAAAGUUUUUCUUUGAUGUGUCAAUCAUGUCUCAUUGUUAUCAUCCAAGUGCUAGGUUGUUGGAUGGUUUUAAUUUGUGAUUGUGCAAUUUUUUGAACAUUGUUGUUUCUGUCUAUUUUUAGAAGUUUCUGUUAUCCAUAUUGAAACUACUCUUUUUGCUAAUAGUAACAAUGAUGGGUGUUUUCUGUUUCCUCAUCAACUUAUAUAAUGCUAUUAAUUGUUUGCUACUAGCUAGAUGUGUCAAUUUAUUUGGUUACUGAUUGAUAGAUAAAGUAAGUGAUUAUCCUCAAUUUUAUCUUCAUCUACGUGGUUUAGUAAGUUCAGUUUUGUUAUUUUAGUGUCAAAGUAGUUUGCAUUCUGUAUUGUCGUGAAUAUGCCUGGACUGGAUUGAUACCUCCAUAAACUUGUACAUAUCUUUUGUUCAUUGUCCUAGUAUCUCAGCCUACUCCCCUACUAGGCCAUCUCUCCUACUAUAUAUCUGCCAUCUCUCAUUCUUGGCAUAUAACAUCCCAUGCUCAUGAUAUCAUUUCUAACUUCUUGUAACUCCUUAUGACAACCUCUUUUAUUUGAAGUACCCGUCUCAUUCACAGGAAAAGGAUCGAUGGUUAAGAUAACACAUUGAGGCAGACCUUUAGUCUCUAAUGCAUAUAAAUGCUAUAUGCAGAAACACAUUCAUAAUUAUUCUGUUUUUUUUUUUGUGUGCGAAUGAAAUGCGAUUAAUUUGACUUUCUAAACCAAUGUUUCAGUCUAGUAGAUUGAUUUUGUCUAUUACAGCACUGUUUGGUUUACACUUUCCUCGAUGUUUUAGAUUAUUUGUCUUGAUGUCAACCCUCCUUUUCCUAGCGGAAAAUAUUCCUGAGUAAUUUGGAGUGCGGCUACAAGAUAAUUAUAGUAUGUCCAAUAAUUUUUUCACUCCAAAUUUGAACUUGGGUACUUGAGUCAAAUCAUUUGGUUGGAUGUGUUGGUAUUUGAAAUAGUUUAUUUUGAAGCAUGCAAAAUUUGAUUGAACUUUGUUCCAUUCAAAAGAUAAAGAUUUGUUAAAGAACCUAGAUUAUGAGUUCGGGUAUGCUCUAUUUAGGCUAAGCUUCAUUUAGGGUUUGGAUGCAAGACAUGACAAAACAGUAUCUAACAGUUGAGAUUUUAAAUUAAAAAAUAAAUAUUUGUUUAAUAAAUACAUAAUAAUAACAAACAUAUUAGGUUCCCUUCUUCUCUCAUAUCGCAACAACCUUUUUUAAUUUAAAAUCUCAAUUGUUAGAUGUUUUUUUGCCACAUGUAAUGCAUCCAAACUCUAAAUGGAGUAAAUGGAGCUUAGCCUAAAUGGGAUAUAUCCGAACUCAGAUUAAACAUAUCAUCGUUCCAUUACGUUGAUUUUUUACCCUAAUGUUCAAGCUGUACCAUAUAACCAUCUGCAAAAUGCCCUCUACACCUUUCUGGUAACAAUAACACAUCUUCCGUGAUUAAAUUUGUCCAUCCAGCCACGUUUUAGAGAAUGUUCAUAACACCCUGAUUGUAAGCAUCUGAUGCUAACUGCCUAUUACUGCACCACAUUUUUAUAAAUCAUGUGGUAACCUUAUACCUCUUCACAUACAUCAUUUUGCACAAAAUUUGCAAUCCUCAACAUUAUGCAUGUGCAGUGAACCUUGUACCAUCCAAUCUCCUCCAUAACUACUCAUCACAAGUCACAACACUCAUUGCAGAUGUUGAUUGUGAUUUUCUGUCUACCGAACAGGCCUCCACAUUUCACGCAAACACUCCAUCGGUUGACACUCCAAUGAUCACAAAGUAUAGUUAAAUCCGUUAAUCAGCUCCACACGAAUAAAUUAAAUUUAUCAUAUAUUAACUCUUGCCAUGCCUGGAGUUUAAAAUCGCAGCAUCCAUCUCUUAAAGGAACAUAUUAAUUAUUGAUCAAUCUAUAAUUUAUAAUUAUACUUGCAAAACAACUGUUUUUUUUGGUAGAACAAAACAACUGUCAUCAACCAAUUAAAUUACUUCUGUAAAAAGAAAACACAAUUAAAGUAGGUUUCAAUCAAUCUAAUCUGUCUUGUACAAUUUACAUAUCUUUGCACCCAAGAAUGUUAACGCAUACCCUCAGCCUCGGUAUAUCCAAUAAGUCUAACGUUAUCUAACAAUCUAUUCAUAAUCUAUUCAUGUCUCUGGGAAUUGUUAUAAUGUGUAGUAUUUUAUUGUCCAAUGUUGAUAAGUGAAACAAUACCAUUGUGCAAGUGCGCCAUUAAUCUCUCGUCAAUUUAUCAUAUUGAUUUCUUGCAUUCUAAGUUGCUAGUCAUAUUUUGAUUUGUCCAAAGAAACUAAGUGGGAUAAUCAGUGCUCCAUGAAUCUACAUUUUCAACCGACUAUUUUUUUUUAAGAAAACUUUUAUUGUAUUUUAAAUUAAUUGUGUACUUUGAAUUGAUUAUACUUAUAAUUAUAGUGUUUUUUUUUUGUUGUUGUGCGGAUUAUAAUUAUAGUGCUUAUACAAGAUAUAGUGGGUGUUUGAAAUAUAAGCAUUUUGUAACUUCGGUAGUGUGGUGAAUCAAAUUUAAACUAGGCAUCCUUACUAAUUAGGGAUAUUAUUAGAACUUAUUCCACCAUAUUAAAUAAUUAUCCAAAUUGUGUGGUGUAAGUUUGGUUAGGAGACAAACAAACACAAUUGUUCAUUGUUUUGCAAGAGCAACAUUAUCCAUGCCUAGUCUCCAAAUUUUCUUUUUAAUCUUAUUCUACUUUGUAAUAUUGAGAUUCCUAUUUGGAUGAAAUGACUUGAUUUCCUAUUGUAAAAAAAAAAAAAAAAGAGACUAUAAAAAUAUAUAGCUAUCAUAACAAAAGAGUAUUUAAAAGAGAUAGAAAAGGAAACAAAGCAAAGAAAAGAGGCAAACUAACUUCUAACAAGAGACACUCCUAUGACAUACACAAGCAACAUCUCAAUCUUGAAAAACACACUCUCAAUCUUGAUGCAACAGCAUCUUAAUAGCAGCAAUCAAAGUACCAUAGUCCAUACAUUUGAAUCAAAGGACCAUAUUUGAAUAGCAUGAAGAAAAUCUGUAUAACAAACCACACUCCUCUAAAGUCUAACCUAGAUUCCAAAAUCCAACAUAACCAAAUACCCUAAUAUAAGGUUAUAGUGUAUGCAUAGACGAUACAAAGGUCAUCAAUGCUGCCAUCAAUAUCAAAUUAAAAACUCAACCUCAAAGUUUAAUUUUGAUUCUAAAAGGACCGUAUUUGAAUAUAUAAACUCAAAUUCAGAUAAUUUAUUUUUCUUUGAAUGAGCACUAUCUAUCACCGCUAAAGUGCAAAGUGAAGAUCAUGAAGUUGUACUAUUCAAUAUAAAAUCAAGGCAGCCACCGUCCAGUGAAACAGUCACUCUCAUAUUACACCGGCUAAAACAAAAAUAAUUAUAUAUCAUCACUUUAAUUAUUAGUAUAUGAUUAAAACGUGGUGCACUCUCAGCCAUAACAUCAUACUUUGUGUUCCAAAAAUGAAGUCCAAAUUUUUAUGACGAUCACAAAUCUGUCAUUAUACUCAUUAUAGAACAUAGAAUAAUUUUUAUAGACAUUAUAACUUCAUGCUGAGAUCUUGAUGCUUAUGGAAGUGAUGGAAAUUCCUCCAUUCAUUUAAAUUUUACCCUCACUUUCUAUUAACAAACAUAGAAUAAAUAUUAUUAUUUGCCAAUCCAUGUUAAGAGAGUUGUUGGAAAAUUAAGGCCAUUUCGUAUUUUAAAUUUCUAAUCAAGCUACUGACCUGUAAAGAGGACCAACUAUUUUGGUCUCAUACAAUUAGUCACCCUGGCAUAUGCAUCACUAUACAUAUAUAUAAUUAAUCGUGAUGAAUAGAGGUUUCUCAUAAUUAUUGGCCAUUCUAAUUGAUUUGGGCCAGCCUUGUCACUCUAGCUAUUUUUUAUUUUUUUUACAAGUACUAGCAAGUCACAUUCUAAUACUUUACGUUUAGUAUAUAUUUAUUUAUUGGAUAAAAAUUACGUGAAUUUCAUCAUAUUAUAAAUUAUAAAACAGUUGUACAAAUAUUAUUAUUUUUUAAUAGACUUAAAAUUAACUUUUUGUCCCUAUAGAAAAUAGGUGUUGCUCUACCUAUAGGAUAAAAUCACAUAGACAACAAAACUAAAGAAUUUUAGCAAGACUGAAAUUUAAGACUCGAAAUCACUUGUUAUACUAAAAAAAAACACGUAACAUCCAAUCAAAACACCCUUAGGUGGAAUUAUUUAAAAGGAAAAGUAAGAUCCAGAACUUCUUUAUAGAGUGGGAUGACUUUUCUAACAGCUUAUUAGAUAAGACAAAGAUGUUGGACAUUCUUUUUGUUUAAAUGUUUCUAGUUUAUUUGUUUGUAUUUCUGAUUUUCUUUGAUACAAUGAUUUGUUUAUAUUUCGUGGCUGGUGUGAGUCGAAGUGUAAAUAAAUAGUGUAGAAAAUAACAUUUUCUAUCAAAUGUGAUUAUGUGAUACCAAUUACCAACACCAUUAGACAAGCUCUUGCAGAAAAAAAAACACCAUUAGAUAAACCAUCAUACUUGAUACUAGAGUUGAGUUAUGAGGAGAGUCCGAAGAUUAUCAAAUUGGGUCAAAAAUAACUAUAUAUAGAGAAUUUGACGCGACAUCUUCAUCUGAAACUCUUAAAUAUUAUCUACAUAGAUCAUGUCAUUUACAUGCUUAACAACGUUAUUUUUAUGUUUUUCCUAAAAGAAAAACGUUAAUUUUUUUUAAUUGAAUAUGAGACUUCUAAUUCAUAUUUCCACACCAACAUCUAUUACAUCUAUGUCCCUUUUAAAAAGAAAAAUCUAUUACAUAUAUCACAUAAACACUUACUACUAUAAAAAAAUUGCUUAAUUAAAUUAUUUAUGAGGGCCAUAGUUGAUUAGAAUGAGUGGUGAAGGAUAAACCAAUUUGAACCCGCAGUGUGUCCAAAAUCCAUUUGAUUUUAGGUGCGUCCAGAUAAGUUGUUCUGGCACAGCUUCGUCAUCCAACGAAGACAAACUAUUCUAAUAAACUUAAUCAUAAUUGUAGUAUUGAAAAUCAUUGUGAUAACUUUAUUUUUUAGGAUAAUAUAUCUUAAUCUCUUGUUAUUUUAUCAUGGGAAUAUUUAUUAGCCACUAACUUUGGUGUUUAGUGUUUCAAUUCAGACUCCACACAUAAAUAAAUAAAAACAAAAAGAGAAGUGUUUCACUUCAAACCGAAGUACAACCACCAGGGUUCAAACAUAUUUUACUUGUAUACUUCAGUUAAAUGUUUACUUGUAACACGACAUACUUCAGUUAAAUGUUAAUCAAUUCCAACAGCUCUAGAGAAUUCCAAUUUGUUCACGUAAAGUAAUUACAUCUUAUAUAUGUCCAUUAGUAGUAAUAUCUUGAAUUUCUAUGACAAAUAUUUUACUUAUGAAUUCCUUAACCAAUAUUUUGGAACACUGGUUAACAAAACCCUAAUUUUAAAUAUAAUAUUAUACUCCCUCGGGUCAUUAUUAUAAGAAAAAAAUAUUUUUUUAAGUUUAUUGAAUGAGUGAUGAAUGUGGUCAUUAAUAUAACCACAUACAUCAUUUAUUCGAUAAACCUAAAAAUAGUUUUUUUGCUUAUAAUAGUGUCCGGAGGAAGUAUAAUCAAAAAUAUAUCCAUAUAAAAUAUUUAUUUAGUGUUGUAUUAGAAAGUUCUCCUCUAUUGUUAGUAGCACCUGACCACCUGUUACUAAUGGGAAUAGUUAAAACAGUUUUUUGUCAAAAAAAAAAUACGACAAAUUUUUAUUGCAAUUUAUAUUUUAACAUCAUUAAUCCAUGGUUAAAAAGUACAUAUUUCACCGUUUGAAAUGAAACCACUUAAUUACCACGGGGCGGGAGGAGUAGUUUCAGAGGUCUAUCUUUUCAUAGACAAGCUGGGGUAGCCUGGUUAUCCCAAAAAAUAUAUUAUUCUUCAAAUAGUUGUUAUAAAUUUAUAUUCAACUACCCUAAAUAAUAAAUAUUGAGCCACCAUAAAUAAAUUCAGUUGCCGAAAAUUAACAUAAAUAAGAAAUUUAAAAUAUUACUACAUGAUUGAUUAAUUUAUUUAUAUUGGUUUGAUACUUCCGGUCUCAAUAGCAAUUAUAGAGAAAACUUUUUAAACGGUAAAAAUUAUUAAGACUAUAGUCAUAAACAAAUAAAAUGGACAAUGAGUUUUUUUUGCAAAUAACCUAUUUAUUUACUUGGAAAAGACAUUAUUAAUCUAGUUAGUAAACAAUCAAUUAUGGACAAAAUUGACUUCUUAAAAUGCAUUUUACCCAACUUUUCUAAAUACCUACGGUAAAUUUUUAUCCUUUGUUGUUGCUUUAAUUUACAUUUCAUAUAAGUAAAAACUAUUGUGAUUUUUUUAUGUAUUGGUUAAUUUUCGGAUUAAAUUUGUUUGUAGUCUCUACAACACUUACGAUUUUUAACUUAAGUUUCUAAAUUUUUGUUUGAUUUUAGUAACAAUAUUUUUCUAGAGAUUAAAUACAAGAAUUAAACACCUUUUUCUUUUUGUAAAAUUUAAAAAAUCUAGACAAAAAUUGAAUAAAUUUUAUGUAAGGACUAAACUAAAAAAAUUAUAAUCUAUAAGAUUAAAAACAUAUUUUUUUCCCUUAAAUUUAAUAUAUUGGCUUUAAAAAUAUUUUAUUGUUUCUUUAUAAUUGGCCCCUUUUCAAGUCCGUUCCUAUGAAAUAUGAGGCUCGACUCUCUUUUUAAAAUAGGCUCCAGUAAAAUAGAAAUGCAAUUUUUCUGUGCAGCUAAACUUUAUUAAAAAUUAGAAUCAGAAGAACUUCUAAACAUGAAAUGAAAUAAAAUAAAAUAAAUUUAAAGAGAGGUGAAAUUUACCUAACAAUGUCGUUUGGAUUGUCACUCAUUCGUCGUGGGAAAGGGGAAACAAAUGGUUUAUGCGAAAAAGAAAUGAUUGUUGUGAUUCUUUCAAUGAAAUAACUUUUCAAAUUGACUGAUUAAGUGAUUAUACACAUUGAAGGUGGUUUGAUGGCAUCAAAUUUAUGUUCAGAAAGGAGAACUAGAGUCUAGAAAAAACUCAAACAUGUACUGAUGAAAGAAAAAGAAGUAACAUAUAUAUAUAUAUUUUUUAAUUUAAGUGGGGGUGGGUAUUAGACUGACCUUUUUUUAAGGCCCAUAGUUUUUAGAGAUCUGGCUUGAUUGAACACAUUGCACUCCCCCAAGACGAGCCUGGCCCCUGCAUAAUUUUUUUACUAGCUUCGCCGCUGGCUAGUUUAAUGUCGUUUGACAACCUCUCCGCUUUAUGAGUAUGUGAAGUGCAACAAUGUUCAAGGUCAGGGAUACGUUGGUGUCAAUUUUUGUGUUGGAAAUUACGUUGGACAGGUUGUUGCAGCAUCAAUGGAUUUUUCACAUGAAAAUGGGGUUGAAUGCAUGAAAGAGGAGCAAAUGAAACAUUAGGUAUAGUGACGACAUUGAGGAACAAUGUAUUUUGGCGUGUGCGACCACACAUGGGCUCAUAAUUUGAGAGACACAAAAAUAUAUACGCAAAAUAUGAGUUGUUUAACUAUAAUAAAAAGUCUUUAGAAAAAAAAAACUAUAGUAAAAGGUUGAAAAUCUAAGUAUACGAAGUAUAUAAAGAUUUACUUUAUAUCUAUAUUCAAAUUAACUUUUCUAUCUCGUUAUCAUAUAAAUGAUCGUUGGAUCGAGAUUAGAUGAUGUAAAUUUCAAAUAAAUUUUUGAUUUUUAUUUUUAAAUUUGAAAUCUCGAUUUUAAAAUCCAGACCAUCCGAUCUCCAUUGAAGGUCAUUGAUGUGACGAGGGUCUGAAUAUGACUAUUUGACUAGUAAAGGAAUCUAGAUUCAUCCAAAACUCUCUAUAUUAGUCUAAAUCUGUUAAAAUUCAAACCAAAAAAACAAAUGGGACCAUAAUCAUUAACUGGACAUUGCUAAACUAGUGACAGACAGAGAAGCAAAACCAGUACACCCUGUUGCUGAUGCUUAAUUUGCCACAGAAUUCUAUAUCUAUCUACACACAAUCCCUUUUCAAAAUCCAUACAUGACCAUACUCACAUGUAGCCGUUGGUCUACAACAACCUUUUUAGGUCACAUUGGACCUACCACAUGCAUAUCAUAUUCCAAAAAUCAACAAGUCCCGUUGGAAUGUGGGCCUUAAAAGUGGGUCCAUGCAAGCGAAAUCAAGCUAAGUAGGACGGCAAAAAAUAUUGUGUUAAAACUUUAAUCAUGUCAUUGUCUAUAACCAAACAAAAUUACACAUUUAAUUAUUUGAUUAAUUUUCAUUUCUUUUGUUACAUAAAUACCACCUCAUUCUACUCAAACCAUACUCAAUUCAAUCCACUACUCUCCCACUUUUGAAAACAAAGUUAAGAGAACUAAGCAAAUAUGGCUAAAGAUGUUGAGGUUCAAGAACAAGGAGAAUACUCAGCAAAAGAUUACCAAGACCCACCUCCAGCACCAUUGAUAGAUGUUGAGGAGCUAACAAAGUGGUCAUUUUAUAGAGCUCUUAUAGCUGAGUUUGUUGCAACACUUCUCUUCCUUUAUGUCACUGUUUUGACCAUUAUUGGUUAUAGCCACCAGUCUGAUCCUAAAGCUGGUGGUACCGACUGUGAUGGUGUUGGAAUUUUGGGUAUUGCUUGGGCUUUUGGUGGCAUGAUUUUCAUUCUUGUUUACUGCACCGCCGGUAUCUCUGGUAUGCUAUAGUUUCCUCUCACUCUCUUACACAUGCAAAGACUUUAUAAAAUUUGCUAUUAAAUUUGGAUAUAGGUUUGCAUAAAAUAACUUAAUUUGAAGAAUAUAGGUAAAAUAUAAGUGCAAGUCAUAUAGUAAGGUUUGGACAUUUAAUAUAUGGAGCGCGAGUUUGAACCUGCAAUACCCUAUUCUCUAAACAAAUAAUGUGUGAAAGUUUUAUAGGUCUAUGCACCAGCUUCGAAACCCUAAAUGUUAGUUGGUAGUAUGUUAUGUUAAUGAGUUUAUGUGUGAAAUUGUGAUUGCAGGAGGACACAUCAACCCUGCCGUGACAUUCGGGCUAUUCGUGGGACGAAAGGUGUCCUUGAUUAGGGCUGUAUUUUACAUGGCAGCACAGAGUGCCGGUGCAAUCUGUGGUACCGGACUUGCCAAAGGUUUCCAAAAAGCAUACUUUGACAGGUAUGGAGGUGGUGCCAACUUUGUACAUGAUGGCUACAACAAAGGCACAGCUUUAGGUGCUGAAAUCAUUGGUACCUUUGUUCUUGUCUACACUGUCUUCUCUGCCACUGAUCCUAAGAGGAACGCUAGGGACUCCCAUGUUCCUGUAAGCAUUUAAUUAUAAACUCAAUUCACACACACUCAUCACCUUUUUCUUCAUAAUAAGUACUUUAAGCAUAACUAACUAUGUGUUUGGUGAAAUGAUGAAAAGGUUUUGGCACCACUUCCCAUUGGAUUUGCUGUUUUCAUGGUUCACUUGGCUACUAUCCCCGUUACCGGCACCGGUAUUAACCCGGCAAGAAGUUUCGGAUCAGCCGUGAUCUACAACGACGGCAAAAUUUGGGAUGAUCAGGUAAACAUCCAUAUCAUUAAAUUAUUAAAGUGACACUGAUAACUAUUUUACAACCGUUUAUUUGAGGAGACUUUGAUUAGGUUUAAGUCUCUCCUUAUAUUAGCCAGACAAACUUUAUAUUUUUCAGUUUUUAGUUUUUUGUCCAUUAAUUAAACUUUUGUUUAGUGCUAAAACAAUUGUUUUCUUUAAUUUUACAAUAGUCUUGAAUUUAUUUUUAAAUAUGUUGAUAAUAAUAUUCUAAUAGAUAAUUAACUUUUGUUGAAUUGUUUUUGUGAUGAACAGUGGA
RNAcentral lists this long non-coding RNA (45023 nucleotides) under Medicago truncatula (barrel medic). RNAcentral's name for it is "long non-coding RNA (MTRU_LNC001880)". Lineage: Eukaryota; Viridiplantae; Streptophyta; Magnoliopsida; Fabales; Fabaceae. The record is from RNAcentral.